UUUAAUUUAGGUAAAGUGUUAGAAUUUGAGAAUGUUACCUAAAAAAUAUGAGUUGGGGGCUGCGAAGAAGAACACUUUCGGCAGUCACAACAAGGUGCUUUAGAUAAGUUUUUUUCAGUUUCAAGUAGCGCUGUGCCUGAGCGUGAUGAGAACCUUAUAGAUGCACCUGAGAAUCAAGAAGAGACUAUGUCACAAGAAAGGUUAAAUGGUUUGGCUAUGUGCACCAUCGAAAGGGAUAUCUUGGACACUAUUGAUCUUAAUACCGUUCUCGAUGAUUUUGCAUCAAGAAAUGUCCGAAGAAAUUUAUUUAUAUAAAAAGCAAUGAAUAUGACGAAAUUCUAUUUUUUCUCAAGGUAAUCAUAUUAGUUCUAAAAGUACAAAUAUAUUGCUUUUUAAUCUACACUGUUUCUCGCUAUUGAUAAUUAUCAGACAUAUUAAUUUUAAAUAUUGAUUUCCCUUUAUAAACAAAAAUAGCCUAUAUAUUAUAGACUAGAGAGGCCAUCGCGACGAGCUCGCCAGAGGGCCCUCGAAAUCGUAGGGCCGGCGCUGCAUCUAGUGAAAAGAUAAUAUAUAUUCUGAUAAUUAAUCAUGAAUUAAAAUGAACGGCAACAUCUCGCACCGUGUUCCCACGCCGCCUGCGCCACCAAGCCGGGCUCCCAUGCCGUCCGCCACCAGCCAGGCCACCUGGCGCCACCAUGCGCACGUCAGGCCGCCGGUCGGGGCCCAACCGCACCACCGUGAUGUGAUCCCUGCGCCAUAGGCUGCCCUGCGUCGGGCUUCGCCGCCAGCCGAGCUGCCUGCGCCAACACGCCGUGGCCGUGAGAGCGGGCCGCACCGCCGUUCGGGGCCUGACCGCACCGCGUCGGAUCGUUCGGCUUAUAAGCCAUAAUUGUAAAUAAAAAAAUACUGUUAAAUAGUUAGCAAAUUUAACUUAUAAAGUUAAGUGAACAGGUUGUGUCCCUAUACCAAUCCAAGGCUGCCCCUGCACUGGCCCCUUUGUCACCACUUGCCACCGCCAUCUCAGUUGCUCCGAUGUCAACUGCGGUGGCGGCGACGACGACAGCGGCGCAAUCUGACAGCGCGUUACGGAAGAACUAGUGAAGGAACUCCUAAGGUUUAGCAGGCGCAGUCUCUUAAGGUGUCGGGCGGAACGAGAAUCCUUUUUCUCGUAGUGUGGCAGUCUCAUGUUGACCGUACGGAAAUGAAGGGAUUCACGGCCGGUCCGCGGGAGGUCGCCCGGUAGCAUGUGAGAUGGAACAAGGCACCGUGGGGGUGAUUUUUUUGUCCUAAGGGCAACUCCCUUAUUGGACAUAUUGAGAAAUGUACAAACACACAUCACAAUAUGAAUCUGUAUUGAGUUAUAUGUUUACACACUUCUCAAUAUGAUCCUAAUGGUAGAGGAAGUGGAAGCACAUGUCCUCAAGGAAAAAAUAACUUAUUUGGAGACGUGGUGCAAAAUGCCAAGGACAUACAAAUGCUUGAGCGAUUACUUGUCGCUGCUGAUGAAGACGAAGACGAUGACGUAGGACCUUCGGAUAGUGUCGCUUAUUUGGAUAAUAUUGACAGUGAUGACGAGACCUAUAAUCCCAACCACGAGGACUAUUCGUAAUACAUGUAAUACUAUGUCUUUUUUAAAUUAUUGACAUUUUUGUUUUGUUUAUUUAUUUUCAAGUCUCUAAUAUGCUUACUAAUAAGUCUUGUUUCAUUCUUUGUGUGUGCAGGUGUUUGAUCAAAGAUGGCGAGCAGGCGGCCACGACGUGACACACCCUCGGCCUACGCGAGACGCCCUUCCCUCACUGGCGAGGCAGAGUCGUCAGGGGCAGCCGCCGCAGGACGGCGCAGGAGGGGGAGGCCUUCCACGACGAGUACCAGCCAGGGGCGUAGGAGGCCGCGGAGUCCCACUCCAGACCCCGUGGCUCCAACGCUGGAGGAGUACCAGGAGGACGAGGACCAGGACGAGGGCCAGGACGAGGAGCACGGCGCGGCGCCCGAGGACGAGGGAGGCGCGGCGUCGGGUGUCUACCAGCGAGGUCCCGCGAAGCUCCCUCCAUACCCACUACCUCAGAGUCGAGCACUGCUUCGCCCUGUACCGCCCAAGUAAGUACAUCUAAAUGAUAUCACAACUACCUCAUCUGAUAGGUUUGAGAGUUUAGAGAGAAACUGACUAUUUUUUUCUAACUGGUGCAGGUCUUGGGAUCUGGUGUCGGGUACUCCCGUGCGCGCUCCCUCGACCAUCCUGGGUACCCUGUGCCGGAAGUACUUCCCCAGCCUCGUGGAGUUGGCGUCGGGGGCCCGCGAGCCGGCCACCACCUGGGAUAGGUACGCUUUAGGGGAGGACGACACGUACAACCCCCAGGAGAGGAUACUGGCCGAGUUUUGGGUAAGUUCCUUUCGCACAACAAUAAUUCACCCAUUACAUUAAAAUCUAUUUUUUUUUAAAUAAUGAUUGGAUGUAUUAACUUUUGUGCAGAGGUACUUCAGGGUGGAGGACGAAGACGUGGCCCUGGCUGAGUCUGUGGCGCACGCCUCCUGUAGGAAGUAUGUCACCGACAUGCACCACGAGGCGCGCGUCCAGGCAGUGAUAGACUUCUACGCGUCGGCGCGUAGUAUGACUAUCACGAAGGCUCAGGCGCGGACGAUGACGAUGACUCAGGAGCAGUACUUGGAGGUAGAUGAAUAACAUUCAGAUUGUCUCUUUUUUGAAUUUAAUAUAUUCAAUUAUAUCUUCAUAUCUGUCAAACACUCAUUGUCUUAUAGGUGAUUCCCUGGUGGUGUCGGGCGCAUGCCGAUGCCUGGGCCGCGAUCGUGGGUAGGUGGUUCACGCAGGACUACCUAGACAGGCACGAGUCUCACCACCAAGGCAGCAAGAGCCUCCCCGCCUUCAAAAAAUCAUAUGUAAGUGAUUUGUCUUCUAUUUAGUUUCGCGUUUAAUGUAUGCUUGAUUACUCACCCUCUGUCGCUUUUCUCGUAGGAGGCUGCGCACCCGGACGAGGAGGUGUCCAUGUUCACGGCUUGGGCUGCGUCUCACCAGACUGCAGGCCAACGCAUCUGGGACGCAGCUGCCUCUCGCGAGGCAUACUCCGACCCCAACGUGUACGAUAAGGUCCAGGAGUACACGUCGGCGGUACGGGAGCGGCACAGGCCAGAGUACGACGUCCGCACCGAGCCACUAGAUGCCGAGGCUGUCAUGAGGCUCGGUGGCGGUAGGAAGCACGGCCGGGCCUGGAUCGCAAACGCCGCCAUCGACCCCAACACCACCCCCACUCUCAGCCAGCUCAGAGCACAGAGCACGAGCUCCAGCCAGCCCAUCCGUGCACGGCCGACUCCGACAGUGAGCAUGUUAGCUUCGCUCCAGGUAAUUCUAGGUUCUCUCAUAGUAAAUUAAUAUUCUCGCAACUGAAUUACAUUUGCAUUACUGAAACAUUGGAGUGUAAUCUUGCAGGACGACAACGCCCAGAAGACGGAGCAGAUCACGGCCCUCACUGCUCAGCUGGAGGCUGAGCGUCUCGCGCGAGAGGCCCAGGACCAGAGGAUGGCUGAGAUGAUGAGGGUCCUGGCCGCUCUGGGGCAGCAUACAGGUGUGGACGUCACGAUGUCAGCUCCAGCGCCUCAGCUUCCGACGCCGUUUAGUUCUACUGUAAGUGUCAAAGUUAACUUCUUCUUUGUAACUGUAGUGCAGAAAUAAUUACUGUAAUCUCACAUAAACAUCUAACUGUUUGUGCAGCCUCAGUCGAUAGCGGGAUCCAAUAACCCGCCUCGUACGUCACCGGAUCCUGGAGCCUUCGACACACCACCCUCGACGCAGAGGCAGGACGGCUGGGGACGAUGGUGACUUCUCGCAACCCUAUGGUGCGUACGUGUCGGCGGUUUGAAACUUUGGUUCGAUUUGGUGAACUUGUGGACUACUGGAUGGUCGUGAUAUAUAUACAUGAUCUUCGUGAUAUAUAUAUAUAUGUGAUGUUCGUGAGAUGUAUGUGCUCGUUGUCGACUCUGUGUGUGUGAAGGUAUAUAUAUGUAUCUGUCUAUUGUCUGGAUGCAAAUAAACAAAAAAAAAUUAAAAUUUCUCUGGUCUUUGCCGAGGGCCUUGACCAUAGCCCUCGGCAAAGAUUUUAAAUUUUUAUUUGGGUAAUUUCUUUGCCGAGAGCUACCAUGCAGGCCCUCGGCAAAGAAUUCUCCAGAAAAAAUAAAAAAAGAUACUUUGCCGAGGGCCUGCAUGGUAGCUCUCGGCAAAGAAAUUACCCAAAUAAAAAUUUAAAAUUUCUUUGCCGAGGGCCUGUAUGGGAACCCUCGGCAAAGAAUUUACCAAAAUAAAAAUUUAAAAAAUUCUUUGUCGAGGGCCCAACGUUCGGCCCUUGGCAAAGACGCCGUCAGUUACAGCCAGUGGCCUAACGGCAUCUUUUUUUCGCCGAAGGCCGGCGUCAGCCCUCGGCAAAAUCUUUGCCGAGUGCCCGACAGAAGGCCCUCGGCAAAGACCCCUUUGCCGACGGGAAAUUUCCCGACGGCUCUUUGCCGAAGGCAGCCCUCGGCAAAGCCUUUGCCGAGGGUCUUAUAGCCUUUGCCGAAGGCUGGAAGCCCUCGGCAAAUCCUCUCUACAGUAGUGCUACGAUAAUUUCCAUCAUGCAUGACACCCAUGAAACCCACCUUUCUGAUCUUAAGUACAAGAGUCAAAUUGAUUAGCCACACCAAAACUUGAGCCCCUGAUCCAACCAAAGCGCAUGAGUAAAGGAAAGGCCGCCAUCCCAUGUCUCCAUCUCCGGUUUUAUCGAUGGGAUCAUCGCCAUCAACAGCAGGUUGACAAGGAGGGAAAAUCGCGCUGCCAAAAGGACGUUGGCAACAACCGUACAACUAGGUACCUUCCCCAACCCUUCGCGACAAGGGCCUGCUCCACAUAGACACGGAUCCCCACACCUAAAGCAUAAUGAUUUCCUCCAUUACUAAUGAAGGUACGUAAACUCAAGAGAUCUACUAAUCUAAGUCUAAGAUCAUGUGUCCUAAUCCUGUUUCAAUUUUAAUCCUAAGUAAUUUCUAACAGUUUGUUAUCAGGAUCGGUAUAAAUAAAUAUACUCUUAAGUUAUAUGCAUGUACCAGUGCAAUUCCCACUGAUGAGCAUAACAUGGAAAGUCAAGAUAGAACUUUCAUCAUAAUCAUCUAUGGACAAACUAAUUCCGACCUAACAUGUCAGCAUCAAACUCUUGGCUGACUUAUAUAAAAGAUCAAAAUUACAAUGUAAGGAGAAGUUGUCAAUGACUUUGUUUUUCCUAUUGCAGCGCACGAGCAUAUUUUGCUAGUAAAUAUAAUAUAAAAAUAUAUCUUAUGAAAAAAUUAAUAAUAGUCAUUUGAUAUUAUAAAUAUUAGUAUUUUUUAUGUAUAGUCAAAUUUAAAAUGCUUUAACAUUAAUACUAUGCUAGAAGCCUAGAAUUGCAUUCUUAGGCUGUCUCCAACAACCACUGCCCAAACACAACACGCAUUCUCUGAUAUAGGUCGAGUACAGUGUAUAGGUUUCCCACCCAAAUCGCUCCUUCUCCAACAGAGUGCGCCCCAAAUCCUGCCGCCUACUCCCAUAGAUGGUUCACCUCUUCCACGCCGCCUGCUCCGCGGGCCGGUUGCCCCUCGCCGCGCUGGCCACGCCCCACCGCGGCCGCUCCUCGUCUUCUCCAUCUCCUUCGCAGGGGACAAGCGGGUGUAGGGCGCCGCCGCCAACCCCGCCGUAGAAGACGCCGCCGUCGGUGCUCCCACAGUCCACGCGGGCCCUGCCAUCUCCUCGCCUCUUCCUGCGGAAGCCCGAGCUAGGAGGUCGCCGGCUGCUUCAUCUUCUACAGCCGGAGAAGAUGGUGAGCGGCUCCGCCAUCGACGCUGCCGCCGUGGACAUGGCCCCACCAUCUCCUUGCCCUCGUAGAUGACUUAUGCGCGCUGGCUUCUCCUCCCUUUGCACCUCGCCAUGGGCCACUAUGCGCCACGGAUUAGAUUCUUUGCGAGCACGCGACGCUUCUUUGCGUUUCCAUUCGGCCGUUACCCAAAAUAGGUCAUGCGUUUGAGUCUUCCAUUGGAGGCUGAUUUUGGUAUGCAAAGUAUUGUGCAGGACCUAUUUUUGCAUUUGGGUCUUAUACAGUCUUAGAACAUAGUCAAUUGGAAAAUAAACUUGUUUUACCAUGUGUAACCAUAUCUUAUAUUUGAAAUUUCAUGUUGACAAAUAAAUAUUUAAUAGAAAAUUGCUCCCGUGCUUUUGUCAUAGACUCGUAGUUGACCGUACGAGAUCGGAAGGGACGAAACAAUCAGCUAUCGUCCGGAUUUUAUCCCCUACCUUUCAGGCUUGUAAACAACGCUGGCAAGUUUUAUCCAUAUUAUGAAGUUAUAUUUAUUAUAUUUGUUCAUUAAAACCAAUAAACUAAAUCGCUACUACCUCUCUUAUGUCCUGUAAUAUACUGUAUUUUAAAAAUUUUAAGACAAAUUUUUAAAAAAAUUAAGAGAAAACUUAAAAGUGUAACACCCCAAAAUUUGGUCCUUUCAAAAUAGAGCUAAAAUAAUUUAAUUUGGUAUUUUUGAGCUCAUGAAAAUAUAGGAAAAAUAAUAUUUUUUAGUAAAUUAAAAUUUAUCAUAAGGCAUAGUAAUAUUAUUAUGCAUACAUGUUGGUGCAUAAGAUUUGAUGUAAUGUUUGCUUAUUGCUUCUUUGUGUGUUGACAGUGAGUGGAGUGUUUAAAAUACGUUAGUAGGUCGAUCUCCCUUCUUCGGCACGGAUUUAUCUUUUUUUCUACAAUCAAAUUCCUUGUUUUCUAGCCUAUGCUUUUGUUUCGAGUUUCCCAAAAUCUUUUCUUUGUAACCCAAAUCAUUCCUUUCAGUUCCUCAACCAUCAAUCAAUCUCUAAAAACUGACCAAGAAUUAUUCUAACACUUUUUAAGGAACUUGUUCCCACUUGACUAUGAGCAUAAUCUAAUUUUUAGAUGCUCCGAAUUAUCUUAUCAUGAGCUCCAAAUACUUUAUUUGGGUUCCUCAUGUUUCAUAAUAUCUCCAAGAAUUUUUCCUGAAUUUUCAGAGCUUUUGAAAUAUUUUUCAUGAAUUAAAUAAUAAUUCUGGACUUUUCUAGAAAUAUCUUAUUCACAAAAAUAAUUAAUUUCGGAAAUAAUAAAUCUUUCAUUCUACCCCAACGCUGAGCCCAUGAUCUCAAAGGCCAAGGUAUUUAUUUACUAGUGGGCUUUAAUAAUUAAUUAGGCCUAUUAGUAAAGGUGGAAGGGGCAACAUCAAUUAGUACCAUAUUGCUAAUUGAUGUAGUUGUGGAGAGUUUUCCUCCAUAUAUAUAUAUAUAUAUAUAUAUAUGUACCAACCCCUUAGGUUAAGUACAUCAAAACUACGAGGAGCCCCUAGUUUGGGAAUUCCUAAGGUAGAUCAACAAGAAAGCCGACACCAUGCCCGAUCGCCCUCAGUCCUUGGUCCAAGGUCAAGCCGCCCUCGGCUGCUGUGUCACACCCGGUUUUAAGGAACAAAACCAGACUAGCUGUAUGUGUGUCCAGGAAGUCCACACAUACAACAACAGAAAGGAAUAGUAUCAAAAACAAUGUUGUAUAGCGGAAACAUACAUAUAAUAGACAUUUACAUCAGAGUAUCGCGGAAUGAUAACUAAUCUUUAGGCUCAAUCUUUACAGGGACGGCUGACUGGGGGUAACAUAUGCCUAACACUUCUUGUAUCCUAAUAACAUCCUUCGUGACUCCAUCACCCUUCUGAUCAACUCUUUCUAGUAGACUGGAGUGGUGAGAAAUAGCAAGAGUGAGCACAUAUCGUACUCAACAAGUAUAACCAGAGGUUCAUGAGGCUCAAAUAGCUGACACUGGUUUGACUGCAUUUAGCUUUUAAUAGUGGAUAGCAUGUUCUUAAUUAAAUAGCAAUUGUCAAGGUAGCAUAAGUAAUCCAUUAAUCCCAUGAUCAAGUGUAAGCAUAAUUAAUUCAUAGCAUAAACGAUAGUCAAAUAAACAUAACAACUUAAUAAGCUCAUCGUCGGCGCAGCAAGAACCCCCAAGGCCGCUCAUAACCGUGAGCAUGGCUAGUAUACCAGUUUUACACUCUGCAGAGGUUGUACAUCUUUACCCAUGAGUCAUGAUUUACCCUUUCGCCCGAGGUAGCUAAUCUCUUAACCCCCUUCCUAGGGAGGUCGGCAGGGAUCACUAUGAAGCCUUUCAAAAGUUCGUCUAACAUGUUAGGGCCGCAAGGUUUCCUUUGCGAGCAGAUAUAGAUACCCCCCUUCCGAAUGGCACAAUGACGCGCAGCCUAUACACAUAGGGACAGGGGCUCGCACUAUACCCGUGUCGGUUCAGCCCCUCCGCCCUUUCGGGUAACCUCUAACAAGCUAAAAAAGGUCUUCAUACUGAGCUAAAGCCAGAGCCAUUAUAGCCCUCAUGGUUGCACUGUUGUCCCGGUGAUCACUUACAGACAAGAUCUCAUAUAGUUAUUUGUCAUCAUUUAACGUUCAUUGCAUAGCUAUUAAUCAUCUUACAAGAUCAUAGAUUAUAUCAAGCACUAGCACAUCUACACCAAAUGCAUAUCAAGUAGGUAGCAAGGAAUACAGGUAACAAUCAUCUAUGAUUUUGCUAAGGUCGACAAGAUGAUAGCAUGCAUAUGAUAUAUAUGUGUAGUUAUAAGUGAAUAGGUAACAAGGAUGAUCCCAAGUUAUACUUGCCUUAAACACUUGCUUAAUUCUCACACCAUUAGCUUUUGGUCAUCAUCUUCUGAUCUUCAGCGCCCACAAACGGUUCUCGUCUACUCGUAGCAAGCACCACACAUAGGCAAACAUACAAGCAACAAACAGAAAUAACUAAGAACAGUACACCACACAAGAUCACGCAAUGUACUAAAGGAGAACAAAUUACUACAGGCACAAGAUGACAAAAAAACGCCGAUAACAGAACUACGCUUAAAACAAACGACUAUGAGAAAAUUCACAUCAUAACAGUAAAGACUAUAUGCUUGCUUUAUUAUAAUUACAAAACCAUAUGAAGUAUAUUAAUUCAGAUUAGUCACUAUGCAUUUCAAUUGAAAGACCAAGUUUUGAAUCUAGUAAUUUUAAUUAUAGAUAUUUUAAUGCCUUUUUAUAUACCAAUCAAUUAUACUUUAAUUUGCAAAAACAAAGUAAUAUUUGAGAGCAUAUAAUUAAUGGAAUUUUAUCUGAUGCAUUGUUAAACUAAGCAAGUUAUAAAUUAAAAAUAUAUUUCUAUAUUGUUUUAAUUUAGAAAGCAGUGUGAACAGAGAGUAGUCAAAAUUAAUAAAUAAAUUAAAAAUUUUAGAAAACAUGAAAUACGUUCAGAUGCGACAUAGAAAUAAUAGAUUAAGAUGGGACUAAAGCGAUUCAGAUAUGAUAGGAAUAACAUAAUUGAGCAUAUAUAACUACGGAGACUCAAUGGUUGCCUGAACAAGUAUACACAAAAUGUAUUUUUUUUCUUGAUUGAGGAAUAGAUAGAUAAUGCUAAUUUAUUAUGCAUGAAUGACAUACUCAUGACAUCAGCAUAAGGGUUAAUCAAUAAAAUAAUAUGGCAAGGGACUAAUCUGGCCGCUAACCUUCAGUUAAUCAGGAUGCACAUUUGCAUGCUGCACGAUAUAGCUUUCCUGGAGUAGCAAGGAUUGGGCAAUCGUACGUCAUGCAGUUGCAGCAGCUGAGAUGACUUUGUGCUUGGUAAAAGCGUGAAAUAACAGCAUGUCUAGCUUCAUGGUUGGAUUGCAUGCAGUUACUAGAUGACAACUGCCCGUACAGAGAAGCACAAAUUCAUGGAGGUGCUCACCGAACAUAGAACGAUGAUGGAGAUGGCAGCCAGCUUGGACAUCCCACAUACGUGGUGCUCCAUGGACUUGAGAGCGGAGAUCAUGCAGAGCAUCUAGGCAUGGCUGAUGGCUACGGGCAGUCUUCACUUAGAUCAAUUAGCUCCCAUGGUGAACAGAUGACAAUGAGCCAUGGAUCGAGAUCAACUCUGUACCUGCUUGGCAAAACUUCCCGGCGGCGCGGCAAGAUGGAGGUGCGGCGCAUGAUGAGAGUUAGGGCAUAGGAUGGAUGAGAAAUUAACCAAAUAGGACAUAAAGAUAUGUAUAUGUACUGUUUGUGUGGGUUUAUUAUGGCCGAGAUAUACGUGUUAACGUUUCUUCACGUACGAGUCCUGAGUUGACGUGGUGGUCGAGUCCAUCUUCAACACGUACGACAGUAGUGGUGGUUGUCCACGCGACUUCAUAUGGUAGUAUAUAUACUCCGUAUAUAUAUUUCUCAUGCUUGGGAUAAGAAUUAAGAAAAAAAAUGGGCAUGCAGCAAAGCAGGGACACGAUAGAGGGAGCGUACAAGAUAGGAGAAGGAAACAAAAAUAAAGAAACUUGCAUCUGAGUAGAAAGCUAAUUGAACCAGUUAUUUGCUUCCUGAAACAUCACGUCAAAACUUAGAUCCAAUGAAACAAGAAAACAAUAGAUAGGGCAAGUAUUAAUGGGAGAGAGAGGGUAGUACGGGCCUUCUUCUAUCCAAUAAUAAAAGAGUAAAAAAAAUGUUUGGCCAAAAGUGAUUUAGGGUCAAGAUUAAUUCGGAACAAUUUGAAAAUUAACAUUUUUCUACAACUAAAUUUGCACUAACUCAAACUAAACUUAGUAAAUUUUAUACAAAUAUCGAAAUAUUUAUUUUUGUUAAUAUUUUCUAUGCACAGCCCAAAAUCAAAAUUUUUAGGGUGUGACAUGCUCUCCACCAGCCGAAACUCUAAUUGGCCAAAGUCAAGUUCACGUACAACACAAGGAAGAAGGUGCAUGUUCUGCAGCUCAUCUAUUCAUUCAAUUAUUCCAAAAAUCCAUACCAUCUUAAUCGUGUAUCAUUUAGUUAUUCUAAGUCUAAUUUAAUCCAUUCAACCAUGUUAGAAUUUUGUAGAUUUAAUCUACGUACUAGUACCUGUAUCUUCACGUGUUGCGCUAUAUUUAUAAAUCUUAUUAAUUUAAAUGCUAGAUUGAUUAAUGUUUAUGUACAAUUACUUUUCUAAUUUAGAAGCGAACAUACUAAAUAUUUCUGAAUUUUAUAAUCUAAAAUAUACUAAACGUUGAUGUUUGUGUGCAACUGGUUUUCUAAUUUAAAAUCCCUAUAGAUUUUAUAUUUUGGUGUUUUAUAUAUAAAUAUUAAUAUGGUAAGUUACUAACAUAAUCUUAUUUCUAAAUAAUAAAUUGCUUAGCUCAAACAUGUUUCAUAUAUGAAAUUCUAAUUAGACUAAAUACUCUCACAUAUUUAUUUCUUUUGCAAUUUGCAAAGAUAAAGCUUAAUAAUUUAUUUAGUAAAUUAGGUGAUAACAUUUAUAAAAAAAUAUAUGAUUAGCAUCAACUCAGAUUUCAAGUUUAAAUAUGAUUUAUUUUGAGUUAAUGUUACUCACAUUGUUUUUCUUAAUUAAUAUAAAUCAAGCUUAUAGUUGUUUGAUUUACGGUAUAAAUUAUUUUGGCAAUUGUUCCUUUUACAUCGUAGCUUCGACCUCGAUGGUUCUUGCGUUUUUGUGACCGUGAUCAAAUUAGAGUGCUUUUCACGUCUUUGUGUCCGUAGCGAUAGAUUAGUUUUUAAACCUUUUUAUUGUUUGGUGUACUGUACUAAUUAUAGCUUUGUUUGCUUCAUGUAUGUUUGGCUCCUGUUUGCUUGUGUGUUGCUAUUCGAUGAUCGAGUUUAGACGGUGAGCAAUUCGUAAUGAACAAGAGUGCUUUAGUGAUCAAGAUCAGAGCCUUGACAACUAGUAAGACCAACAGGAUCAACAAGAGCAUUUGGAUUAAGGCAAGUAUAGCAUUUGGAUUUUAUUUCUGUGACCAUGAUCGUAUGACUAGAUUAAUGUUAAGUAAUAAACAAUAAAAAUGACUGUUUAGCAACUUAAGGAUUUAUCUGUACGUGAUCACCCGGGACAACAGUGCAACCAUGAGGGCUAUAAUGGCUCUGGCUUUAGCUCAGUAUGAAGACCUUUUCUAGCUUGUUAGCGGUUACCCGAAAGGGCGCUAGAGGGGCUGAACCGACACGGGUAUAGUGCGAGCCCCUGUCCCUAUGUGUAUAGGCUGCGCGUCAUUGUGCCAUUCGGAAGGGGGUAUCUAUAUCUGCUCGCGGUGGAAACCUCGCGGCCCUAACAUGUUAGACUAACUUUUGAAAGGCUUCAUAGUGAUCCCUGCCGACCUUCCUUGGUAGUGCGUUAAGAGGCUGAUCACCUCGGGCGAAAGGGUAAAUCAUGACUCAUGGGUAAAGAUGUACAACCUCUGUAGAGUGUUAAAACUAGUAUACUAGCCGAGCUCACGGUCAGGAGCGACCUUGGGGACAUCUACAUUAAGGGUGAUGAAUCUUGUGUGUUAAAUAUGCUCAUUGUUUAUUGUUUAAUGCUCAACAUUAUUUAUGUCGCAUUGAUCAUGAGAUUGUGGGAGCUAUACAAUCUAGUUGCUAUACUUGUGGAGUUCGACAUGGACUCACUCUUGCUAUUUCCCCACACCCCUCAGGAGAAGUUUUGGGCUUGUGAUCAACCAGUCAGUUGGAUCCUGUAGAGAGAAGUUAAUACCCGAAGUUUGGAGUUGUCUAUCCGCUGUUUGCUAUCACAGGUUAUAUCUUUUAUACUAAGUACGUUAUAUAUUUAUGCAUUGUCUUUUGAUAUUACCCUUAUUUGUAACUAUAUGUGAGACUUGGCUUCUAAAACUCACAUAUAGUGCAUAUCUGAUUUUGUCCUUAAAAUCGGGUAUUACAAAAAGACACAUAUCUAUUUUAUUUUCUAAUCAGACGAUAUCAACAACUUGAUUAAUGAUGAUUGAUUAAUAAAUAAAAGUACUUAAUGUAAAAAUUUGUUUUUCCCCAUAGAAUAUAUUGUGUUUAUUUAAAGAUAAAUUUUGAACACUGAAAUGAACUAUACUAGGUGAAUUCCCCGCGCGUUGCUGCGGGAUUUUUUUAAAAAUAAAUUAUUAUAUACAUAACAUUACUAUAUGGUAUUUAGUCUAUUAUGUAUGUAUACAUAUGAAUUGGACUUGCAUGUAUUUUAUUGUAUUAGAUUAGUAAAAAAUUGCUAAGCUAAUAAAACAAAAACUAAUAUUUGAUUACAUUAUAGAGGAAUUAAUUGGUGAUAAAACAAAUAAUGUAUGUACAUGACUUGUAUGUGAAUAUAUUAAAGAUUUAAAGUAUUUCACAUAAUAUAGAUGGCAUGGUUAUUUUUUUAUAAUUAAUAUGGAAUGACAUGGACUUAGUGGGGAAUGAUGUGGACAUCUUGCAUGAAGAGAUAAAAUAUUUAGUGGGUCACUUAGUGGGAAAUGAUGUGGCCACCUUGCAUGAAGGGAGAAUUCAUCUAAUGGGGUUUAGCUUUAUAAGAGUUAUAGAUUACAUGAUGGAGGGAGUAUUUACUACCCAACCAAAGAUCCCUCUACCGUUGUGUUUGAUAUUCCCGCGCACUACAAGUUAUCAUUGGUAUCCAAAGAUGGAGGAGACGAUAAUCUAUUUUGUCCGUACACACGCGUCAGCCUUUUGACCAAGAUAUUAUUUCUGUAUUUUUAUUUGUAUAUACGAUUAUAAGACAGCGAUAGGCAACGGAAUGAGACAUCGAAGGAACGGAAUAUAGACGAAGAUGUACUAUUAUGUAUACUAUACCUUCACACUAAAUUAGCUGAUAAUAUAAAUUCUGUAGGAGUAUAUACGCUGAUAAGUACACAGCCAAACAGACGAAGUUGACACGUCCAUGGUUGAUGACACCUUCGCACUAACGAACGACCACAUACGAACAAAUUAAUGAAUUGACUUUGAAAGAAGUAAAAGAAGCCAAAACAAUUUAUUUUUGUCGAACCAAGAAAUUUGGUCUUUGUUCCAAAUUUCAUCAAAAACUUGUUCGUUCUAGCAAACUCAAGUUAUAUCGUGCUAUAUCCUGUAAUAUAGUGAAUUUUAAAAAUUUUAAAACAUUUUUUCUAAAAAAUAAGAGAAAAUUUAAAAGACACAUGUACGUUUAUUUUAUUUCCUAAUUAGACGGUAUCAUCAACAUGAUUAAUGGUGAUUGAUAGAUAAAUGGGAAGUAUUUAAUGUAACAUUUUGUUUCUUCCAUAGAAUAUAUUGUAUUUAAAGAUAAAUUUUGAAUGCGGAAAUAAAUUAUAUAUACUAGGAGGAUUUUCUGCGCGUUGCCGCGGGUAUGAAGCAGUAAUCUAUAUGUGUGGUGUUAGUAAUGCAGGAACAUGAUAUAAUAUAUGUGUAGAUUUAUUAGUAUAAUCGUGGACAUUAUAUCUAUAGUGGCCGGUGUUUCUAGCUGAUGUUGAUAUCAUAAUUCUUGUAUCAGUGAACUUUAAUUGCAAAUAAUAGUGGAUUGCUGAGGUGGACACCUUGCAUGUCAAGAGAAAUUGCUAGUGACAAAUUAUAAUGGAUUGUUGAGGUGGACGUCUUGCAUGUUAAAAGAAAUAGCUAGUGGGAUUUUACUUUAUAAGAGUUAUAGAAGUGGAUUGAUGAGGUGGACAUCUUACAUGUCAAAAGAAAUUGCUAGUGACAAAUUAUAGUGGAUUGCUGAGGUGGAUGUCUUACAUGUUACGAGAAAUAGUUAGUGGGUUUUUGCUUUAUAAGAAUUACAGAUUACAAAAUGGAGGGAGUAUUUAGUACCCAACCAAAGAUCCCUCCACCGUUGUGUUUGAUAUUCCCGCGCACUACAAGUUAUCAUUGGUAUCCAAAGAUGGAGGAGACGAUAAUCUAUUUUGUCCGUACAUACAUCAGCCUUUGGCCAAGAUAUUAUUUCUGUAUUUUUGUUUGUAUAUAUACGCUUAUAAUGUGGCUCGCGAUUUUGUCGAGUCUACGUUUCUUAAUGACAGGCCAUGAGGCCCAAAGUGAACUCAAAAAGACAGCGAUAGGCAACGGAAUGAGACAUCGAAGGAACGGAAUAUAGAUGAAGAUGUACUAUUAUGUAUACUAGUACACCUUCACACUUAAUUAGCUGAUAACAAAAUUCUGUAGGAGUAUAUACGCUGAUAAGUACAGCCAAACAGACGAAGUUGACACGUCCAUGGUUGAUGACACCUUCGCACUAACGAACGACCACAUACGAACAAAUAAAUUAAUGAAUUGAUUUUGAAAGAAGUAAAAGAAGCCAAAACAAUUUAUUUUUGUCGAACCAAGAAAUUUGGUCUUUAAACUUGUUCGUUCUAGCGAACUCACGUUUCUAUAGCAAUGAUAAAACUUUUGAACUUACACAAUGCAGGGAAAACCUAAAGGCAAAGUGAAAGCAAAAACAGUCCUUAACAUAGUGAAAGGUUGACAUUGGAAGAUUUGAUGCGGGUCCGAAGUUCCAAAGAUUGUAAGUCGAAGUCGGAAAAAAUAACUCGACCUAUGGGGGUAAGACAGCCCCGGGUAUUGUGUUUAAGAAAAAAAAAAUUAAGUCGAGAAAAUCCCUAAACCUCUACCUUACCCAUACACAAUGGUAUCACAGCUCCUAUGACGCUGGCUGAUCUUAGACCUGUACUUUAACAUAGAGCAGACGAGAAGAUUUUGUCAACAUGCAGAUAAACUAACGCCUCCUCCCAUCAACAAAUCCGCCUUCCAAAGAGUUCGAACUGUGGCCGGUAGGAUGCAAAGCGCACCGUCCAAGCAACUGGUCUAGCGUAUAUCAGAAGUAGGUCGUAAAUUCCAAACAAGACUGCUUCAAAUCAACUCUAAAAAAUUUGAAAUUUUGUACAAACCUUGAAUAAACCAUUUAUAAAAGAUAACCCCCAAGAGAUCAAUACUACCACGUAAAGCAUUUUGCAUGCGGCCACAUUUGUUUUCCACAUACGCCCAGCAAAGUCUGCCUCCAAGUCUAAGCAUCAAUGAUUCUGAUUUUUUUUUUUUUUUGAAGAUGCUUGUCUGUGAAAAUAGGUUUAGAAAAUAAAAAAAGGGCCUAGGCCCGGCGUCGAACUCGCUUCCGGAAGCGUCGCCACCGCUGCCCAUCCACUCUAAACACGCGGCUGUCGUCACCGAGGCCGCUCGCAGCCAGGUAGCCACCCCACUGUCGCCGGAUCUUGCUGUGGAUCCCUCCACCGCCGGAUCAAGCCAUGGAUCUCUCCAUUGUGCCGCCGUGAGGCCGUGUCACUGCGCACUCCUGCGUUGCGCCACGCCGUUGCGAGGCUCCUGGGUGCCAAUCUAGAUAACCCGGGUUGUCAUCCACUCGAUCGACCUGUCUUAAUAUAAACCAAAUACUGAGGACCCACAGGAAAGUAUCAUCUGCACCUCGUCUUAAAGACCUUUUACAGUUGAGUUACACCAACGAGCCAAUCAUCAAGCGACUUACAACACAAUCUUAUAGUGAACAAAAAAAUUUCAAACUAAAACAUCAUUGACCAUAAAAGAAAUUAACCUGCAAGAAGACAUCGGACGAGUUGGAGAUGAGCUCACUUGAUUGGAUUGGGAGAGCGUGUGAGAGUGAUUAGAGAUAGAGAGCUUUGAUGAGUGAUCCAACUGUGGAUUAGUAUCAUACUAGUUUUUAUCUAGACAUGUGAGGGUGUUAGGUCCUAGGGUUAAGGUUAAACAUUUUAAACUUCAAAAUAUUCAUCAGAUGCUCCAUCAAUUAUGAUGGACUCUCCUUCAAAAAUAUUCCCAAAGCUAGCAAGUUUGGGUUCGGCUAUAAGAGAAUUGAUGGAUGAUCCGAUAAACUUGUCGGACGAUCCAAAAAAAUGGACGAUAUGUGGUUCUAGGAACAUGCCACAGAACGAUCGGUGGGUGAGCUGUGUUUCACAGACACUCCGCGGAAUCGACAUUUGCUCCAUGGUGAACUAGGUGCUACCGAGUUCUCUGGAAACCAAUUUUAGUUAUUGACGCGCAGUCCAUGGAUCCUCAUGAAUGUUCCAUGAACAGUGAAGACUAAGUGUUUGGCUGUGAUUUCUGGCCAAGCGUUGUGGUUGACGUAUGAUCUGUAAGAUGUGAUGGAUGCUUCAUUAGUGCAUUCACACAAGUUAUGUGUUUUAUCAUUCAUGGUGUUUAUGUGUGAUUUAAGUCUAGAUCAUUGGUGAUGUUCAUCAUGUAUGUGCAAGGGGUUAGGGUUGUUUAGGUGACAUGUUGGGCUACUGAUUGCUAGGGUUGAGCUCUAGUUACCAUGUGCAUCAUAGUGAUCUGUGGAUCAAAUUAAUCAUGAGAAAAGAGAAAUUAAAUCAUGAGAAUGGGCAUGGCAAUAUAUCUUUAAGAAUUUGAUGACCUCUAGGCCACCAAGAUCAGAUAUGGGGUCUUGCUCAACCUUGCUUCCAAGAAAAAGAGAUGGAUUGGGGAAUUCAUGAGAUUUCUUGCAAAAAUCCACAAAAUUGCAUUGGGGAGAAACUUGAGAGAUCCCUGAGAGGAUUGAGCUAGAGAUGAUCUUAGCUUACACUUGAGAUGAUGGAGCAACUUCCAAACUUCACAUAUUGCAUCCAUGCAUGAAAAAAAUCAUGCAUGGAUGUAAUGUGAAGUUUGGAAGUUGCUCCAUCAUCUCAAGUGUAAGCUAAGAUCAUCUCGAGAGAGGAUUUCAAGAAAAAUGAGAGAAAGGCUUUUGAUUUCACCAUAGAUUGAGGUUGAGAUGGAGAAGCUGAUGAGAUUUGUGAUCAAUGCUGACCUUUGCUUCUUAUCCUUCCUUUAUUUCCCUUCUCUUCAUCUUUCUCACUUUCUCUCUCUAGUUCUUGCCUUGUUCUUCAUGUGUUGAGAGAGGGGGAUAGGGAAUGGGUAAGAGAGUAAGCGGGAUGGGGCAUGUUUGCUGAAGGCCUUUCCCAACUCGUGCUGACAAGUGGGUCCACUUGUGAGAGAAUGGAGGACAGCUCAUUCCCAACUUGAUUCUACUAAAGUCAAGUUUUGAUGAAUGAUCUGUCUAUUCAGAUAGGCACUCUGUCAAUAUGCUAAUUAUGAGAAAUUGAUUUAGAGAAAUGGUUCUUAGAAUUUAGAAUUAGGGCCAUUCUUCUUGUCCUAGGUGUUGAUAACCACUUAGGGAGAGACUAGAUAAGUCAACUAUACCCUUCCUCCACUAUCUUCUUGAAGUUGACCGUUAGUUGGUCAUCGAUGACUCUAGGUUGACUCUGGCUUAAGAGGAUCGAUAAGGUUGGUUAGCAAAUUUGGAGUCCUUAUCCUAGUUAAGAGCACUAGGAAUCCUUCAAGAGAAUAGCAAGUUGAUUCUUGGAAGUUUGAGGGCUUAUGCAAGGUGAUCAAAGAGGUUCUUAAGAAGGGUUUUAGUUGGAAUGACUUCUGGUCAUGACAAUUGCUGCCUUCAAUUCGCUCAAGAUCCAUGGUGGAAAAGAUUUCCAAACCCUAAGUCAUUUUGGGCCUGGUGGAGGCACGUCGUGAGAGAUGAGAGCGGGGAGGAGUUCCAAACCCUAACUCUAUCUUAUAUAUGUCACAAUCAUAUUGAGCUCGAUGGCUCCGAGCAUGUUUCUAGAGGUGGGCCGCCCACCUUUGUAAACGAAUUACAGAGAUAGAUGUUUUUGGACUGCCUCCUUAAGUAGAGCUACCACCACCGAAAAUUAGGAUCUUUUUGGGAGGCACUAAGAAUUUCUAACCACCUCCAUUAAUAAAAUCCCUUAUCUCCUAAAAUAUUUUAUGUAGUAGUGCAAGUCUAAAAGAUAAAAGCUUGAACAGAAAAUUCAAAAUCCUUAGUCUCAAAUUGGAGUUUUGUCAAUUUUCCUCCAAAUGGGGAUUUCUAUGUGCUCGUGGGAAAUCUGCCUAAGGCAGCUAUGUUUAUUCGUGAGCCCCUAUAGCACCUAAAGAUCAUUCAACGAUGUCCCAAAUACCUGAGCACAAAUAACUUCGAGAAAAUAACCUCAAGAAAUGGUAUUUUUAGAAGCAAAUUAGCUCGCCAACUGCCUCUAAGAGCAACUCCAACACUACCCUAAACUUCACUUGGCAAAUCUUGGAUUUUGCCAAGUGUAAAGCUCAAAUGCCAAGUGAAAAAAAGAGGCUUCUCCAACAGUUAGCUAUUUUUUUGGCAAAUUUGGACUAUCUUGUGAUUCCUGAAAAAAUCAGAGGGACUUUUAUGCAAAAGUUGCAAUCUAUUUAAGGCAUGCGUGCAUGCUGAAUGUGUGGGUCCCACCGCGUAGGCAGGAUGCCAAGCGCUCCCAACGCUCCUAAAUUUGAGCCAGUUGGCCCUCUUUUUGCCAAGCAUCCUAUUUUGUCAAGUGCAUAUAGGGUAGUGUUGGAGGAGCUUUUUCCAUGUUUUGCCAAAAAUUAGGAUUUGCCAAGUGCAUAUAGGGUAGAGUUGGAGUUGCUCUAAUAAAAUAGCAUACAUUUCUAGAGGCGGCUGGAGUUGUCUCUAAAAAAUUGAUUUUUAGAGACGAGUUGACUCAAAAACAAUUUUUAAAGACAGAUUUUUAUAAAGUAGCCUCUACCCAAAAAUUGAGACGUCUCUAAAAAUGGACUAUGACUGUAGACCUGUAGCUGGAGCAGGCUUGGUAUUUGUAGUUUAGAAGUUGCAGCGGCAGCGAGAGUUGGUGUGGCUUGUACCAUACUCCUAUUAAGUAAAGGAAAAUUGAUAGUAGUAUACAGCCUAAUGAGACAUAGACCAAUCUAUUUCAUUUUUGUACUCAUUAGAUAAUCGUUUAAUCAUUUCGCAAAAAGAAAAAAAUGGAUAGACACACUUAAUAAUACACAGAGUGAUGAAACAAUAUAACAUAAGCACAGGAUAAAAUAUGAGUACAUUUAUUGUCCUUAGCACAGACUGAUACACUAUAAUUAUAAUCACUCUCUCCGGUACAAAUUAAGCAGCAACAGGGACACAGUUCACAUCACAAAUCAUCUGAUUAAUUUGGUAUAAGAUUAUUGUAAGGUUUGGCCAUGAUCCAAAGCAUGGACUUCUUUCUUAACGUUAUCCCAAAGAUCUCUGCCAUAUCAAAUUCUUCCAACUUGACGCCAUCAGGUAGAGUCCAAUCAAAAUGGUAAAGAAGGCUAACAAGAGCCAGCUCUAGAUUGGCCAAACCAAGCGUUAUGCCAGGGCAUAUUCUCCUACCUGACCCAAAGGGAGUGAACUCGAAGUCAUUACCUCUAAAAUCGACACUACUAUUUUCAAAUCUUUCUGGCCUAAAUUCCUCUGCAUCAUGCCACAAUUUUUUGUCCCUUGCUAUUGCCCAAGCAUUCACGAACACCUUGGUUCCCUUUGGAACAUCGUAACCCAUAACCUGACAUGAUUCACGACCUUCUCGAGGGAGCAACAGUGGUACUGGAGCAUGCAACCGUAAAGUCUCCUUGAUCACCAGCUGUAGGUAUCUCAAUUUGAUCAAAUCACCUUCAGUUAUCUUGUCUUGUCCUUUGAAGGCCUCCCUCACCUCUGAUUGGGCCUUAUGCAUGACUUGUGGAUUCCUAACAAGCUCUGACAUUGCCCAUACUAGAACAGUUGAUGAUGUUUCACUCCCAGCAGAGAAAAUAUCCUACAAUACAAUGUUAUAGUUACAAUUUGUAAAAGGGGACAUUCACAUUUUAAUUCUCAUGAGAAUGUAAUCAGUAAACAUAAGAAUGUAAAAAAAGAAUGUAGGUCAUAAAUUAUAUUCUUGUUCACAUUUUUAUUGAGUGCCAAUCGUGCAGAAUUAAUUAAAUUCUUUUUUAUCAUUUUAGUAAAUAAGAAUUCAAUUUAUAACCUAAAUUCUUAUUUUAUAAAAUACAAAAGAGUUCUAACUAAAAUGAAAUAAGUACAUAUAAGAUUUUCAACUUAACUUGAGGAUUAAGAAACUACAUCAACUAACAAAAUCAAAAUUUAAAAUCAAGAUCAAAUAUGUCAGGUGACAUGGCUAGCAAUAAGAGAUACCAUAACUUAAGCUAUGGUUUUAACUAAAUGUGUAUUGAAGACAAAUGGACGUGCCACGCACAGAGAAAGAGAAAUUAUAAAUAUGGAUAAAAAAUAUAAGGAAUAAUUGAUAAGUUGAUCUCACCGGUAAAGAAAGAAAUAUCUAUAUUGUGUCAAAAAAAAGAAUAAAAAUAAUAGCACAAGGAUAAUUAAUUUGUUUAGUUGUAGGUACUAAACAUGGACUACGAUACCAAAACUUAUUUAGUGUAAUAAAAUUCCAUUUGCCUAAUGCUAAACUAGAAAUAAAUUAGAGACCAUUAAUAAUGGAGAGGUUUUGUAGGAGUGUGGUGUUAGAUAACUAGAAGAUAUCUCGCGCAUUGCUACGAGAAUCGCAAAGAACUUGCUUGGAAUGAAAUUAAAAGAAGAUAAUGUGAAUAGCUUGCAACUAAGGGUCCAUUUGGUAGGAUUUCUCCACCGGCUUCAGUUUGUUUGAAGCCAUUUUCUGCCACACGGUAUAAAAUAAAACGGCUUUGCUAGUGAAACUCCUUAAAACCAGCUUUAUAAGAGCGGAUCUCACCCAAAUAACCGUGCUGACAAUCUCGUUGGUGAGAGCGAACUGCAGGCCACCAUCCCUCUGCAGCCUCAGGAGAACACCCAGAAGGUCCUCCUCGUCUCGCUCUGGCGCCGUCGCCAUGGCUUCAGCUUCACGCUCAUGAAUGAUGCUCCGGAUGAUCCGGUACAUGUUCCUCUGGCACCUCCUCGCGUCCCUCGCGGCGGCGCUGAACCGGCGUACCAGCUGCGAGGACGGGUACAGGUCCGCCAGGUUGAACCCACCAAACAGCCGCACCACUUCGUCUAGCUCAUGCAUGUACUCAUCCCGGUACUUGCACCGGUCGCCGACGACCGUGCGCGCGGCGACGUCGUUUACCAUGCGGCAGAUCCCGUCGCUGAGGUUGACGGGCCGCUGGCCGUCGGCAGACUCCCUGGAGACGGAGCGGAGGAGGUUCGCCACCUCCUCUUCCCGGAUGUUCCGGAACGUGAGCACGCGGCGCUGGCUGAAGAGCUCCACCAUACACAGCUUCCGGAGCUCCCGCCAGUGGGCGUUGUAGGCGGAGAAGAUGAUGUCCUUGCCGCCGCAGCUAAUGAUCUCCAUGGUGACGCUCAGGUUGCGGUCGCAGAAGGUGAGGUCGUGCGUCCUCAUCACCUCCCUGGCGGCCUCGGCGGAGGAGACCACCAGCGUGGGCACGGCGCCGAAGCGGAGCAUCAUGAGGGGCCCGUAGGUUCCGGACAUCUCGCGCAGCGCCCGGUGAGGCAGGUCGCUGAAGCGCGACAGGAGGAGGUGGUGCAGGCUGCCGAUGAGCGGCAGCUGCCAUGGCCCUGGUGGCAGGCGAAGCGCUGGUGAUGGCUUCGUGCGUGAGGACGUGACGUAGCUCCGGAUGAGCCUGAGGAGGAGGAGGGCGAGGAGGACGACGAAGGCUAGAAACUGGAUUCUCAUCAUGUCCAUAUUUUUGCCGGGGAUGGGACAAGUUUGCAGCCAACUGCGUCUCGACAACAUCGAUGACACGUAUUUAUACUAGGGGCUUGCUACCUGAAUUCUAGUUAUAUAUAUUUAUAAUACUAAUAAAAGUGUCCUUGCAACAAGUAAAAAGGUAUAAUGUUAUCCAUAGUUUUUUAUCUUGAAAAUAAUAAUUUUUCAUUUACAUCAUUAUAUUUUUAUUGCACUCAACAUGAUGCUAAAAAAGCAUAUCAUCACACUAUAAAAAAACAAGUUUUUAGGGUUUCUUCCUCUAUAAUAACCGUUCGAUUUGUACGCCGUGCUAUAUGAGUCCUACGUCAUGUAUGAUCUUACUUUUUUGUAUAACAACCGUUCGAUCUAGAUGUCAUGCUAUAUGAGCCCUCCAUCAUCUAUGAUCUUACAUGUAAGAUUUAAGACCCAUAUUCAAUCUCACAGUAAUGCUACCCAUCAUAAGUCAUAUCCUUCUCUCUUGUGUACUGUCGACUCCCUGAUUUUGACUCGACAUAUUUUUCUUCUAUUUAGUAAUCAAUUGCUUCUUCAUCGUGUAACUUUUGCUAAAGUCGAGACCAAUAGCACACAAUUAAUCAAUAGGAGUACAAACCAAUAACGGUAAAAUUAUUAAGAUAGAAUCAUACUCAUGUAUUCUAACGGAAAAAAUAAUAACUUGAUAGUCACUUGCCCUCCAUAUACAAUGGUCAUUUGCACCGACACGGAAGCUAGCAUUGCUUGAUUUGGCUAGUGUUGAUAUACGAGGCGGACACACAUGGCUACCUUUGCGUGCAUCUUCUUGGCUUCGACAUACUGGUCGUGUGUUUUUUUCUUUUGCUAUUUUCUAGCUAUUUAACAAUUAGUUGUUACUAUCAGCGUAAUUUGUGUAAUUUUUUAUUUGUUUUUCUGAAUUUUAUAUAUUAGUUAUUUAAAAGGAAUGAUUUUAAAUAAAGUUUAUAUUUUAUAAUAAAAGACGUUUCUUCUUUACAUACCGUUUUCAAAUUAUGGCCUGCUUUUUGAUUUUUGGCCUUUUUCUUCUUAUAGCUGUUGCAUGCCCAAUUGCCCAUGGUAAAUCCCAGCGUGUUGCCUGUUGGUUAUGCAAAGUUGUAGGUAGGCUACGCGUUGUCCUUUUCCCAAUUUGAUUUUUUUUACCGUUCGGAGCACGGUUCAGAGGUGUAGAUAGAUAGAGAUAAUUUCCAAACUGAAGAGGGUCGACUUUAAAAACCAUAAUUCGAGUAGAGAUUGGAGUUGAAGGAAAAAUAUUACGGAUCGAAGCCUAUACGGACUGGAUAGGCGAAAAAAAGAUGUCUGCUGGACUGAAAUUUUCAUAAUUAUAUAUUAGAAGAAAGAUUGUAGAUUUCGUUCAUUUUAAUUUUCUAGACAUAAUUUAUAAUUUUCGGUACCGAGAAUAAAAAUUUGUUAGACAAAAUUAUAAAUCUGACAAAUGUAUUUGAUCAAAGUUAAUAUUGUUUGACUCCUGAUAAAUGAGAAUAAGCAUUCUUUUAGGCACGGACAAAGAAAUUUAUCCACAAACAUGCGUGAAGAUGUGCUGUACAUACUAUGUACCCGUACUCCGUGAUGUACAAAACUAGGACCAGCAGAGGCUAAUUGUCUCUAUAGCAGCAGGCUACAAUAAUUUGUCUCCGUGGUCCAAAACGUGGGAAGCCUGUUAAGUGGUUGUUUGGUUCACAUAUUUGUUCACUUGUCUAAGUUGUAUUUUUUCUAACAGCCAACAGUGUUUUUCUUUCAUAAUAAAUCAGCGAAGAAUAUUUUCAACUAUAACUUUUCAGAUCAGCGAACAUGCUAGUCUCAUUUACUUUCAUUUAGUCAUUUUUUAUCUAAACACUAUAACUAAAUGAGGUUAAAUGGACUUUAGUCAUCUCUAGCAAUUCUGGAAUAACUAAAUAAGACUAAACUAUUUAGAAGGGACUAAAGUUUAGCAGCCCGAAAAACACCCGUGAUGUCCAUCCAUCCAUUAUAUAAGUUGUUGCUAGGCAGCUAGGGUCUUAGUAUUUUCGUUUUAUUUUAGUAAUUAGUAUCUAAUUAUGGAAUCUCUAGAUUUAAAAGAUCCAUCUCAUAAUUUAUAGAUAACUUGUACAAUUAGUUUUUUUAUCUAUAUCUAAUGUUGUAUGCAUGUGUCCAAGAUUUGAUGUGAUAGAUGAAAAGUUUUUAGGUGAAACUAAACAAGGCCCAGGUAUAACUAGGGACGGGAUAGAUAUGCAGCCAACUACGUGACGACAAAAUCUCGAGGAGCUGACACAGAUAUAUGGACUAGAUAGAUUUUAAUAAUAUAAUAGUACGUAUCAAUAAUGUAGGAAAUAAUGGUAUACUAUACUAGUUCAUAGGAUUCAACUGAAUAUUUUUGACAACAACGUCGUAUUGUGUUUGAUACUUCCACGCAACUACAGGUUAUUAGUGGCGUCGGUCCACGAAUGUGUACGUGCACGCCGCCUUUCGUUCAAGAUAUACUAUAUGUUAAUUCUGUAUUUGUUUGUAUAUAUAUAUACGCUUAAUUAUAAGACAGCGAUAGGCAACGGAAUAUAUAUAUACACACACGAAGAAAAAUCGCUGGAGUAAAGAUAGAAGCUUGUGUAGAUAUUCUCGCUAUGGAGUAGUAGUUCCAAUCAUAUAUAUAUUGUGCCGCUGUGAGAAGUAGCCAAUCACCAAACAGGAGUGCUCAGCUCACUGAUGGCACGUCGUCUAUCCGUAGAGGCGUAGACGGGUGCAUGAGUGCAAAUGGACAUGCAUGGUUUCGAGGACUUCCCAACACACCCACAGGGCCACAGCCCACAGGUGAUGUUUGUCUCCAUGUUUCCCUCCUAUUUCCGCUGCUAUUAAUUCUCGUUGCUACGUGUUUGUUUCAGCAGCAGCGGAGCCAUUCGCACAAGGGUCGAAUCCGGAUACCGGAAACGUCGUUACCGCCCACUCCAGGCCUUAUCGGUUUAGGGCAUGUACAAUCUAGAUAGGGUCCGUCUCUAAGACCAGUCGCAAUGUAUAGUUUCAUGGUAGUUACCAAGACUAUAAACUAGGUAACCGAGUCAUAUGAGUUUUAUGAGGAUGAAAACUCCUCUCUCAUCUGAUGAGACUGCUUCAUUUAAUGACCCUGUCAAGUCAGCAAUUUUGCUUAUGUGGCACCUUAUUUAAUGUGCAUGAUACUCUCAUGAAACAUGCAUUGAGAUUGACCUAAGUAUCUCGAAUCUAUGAUACAGACAGAUAUAAAGACAGAUUAUACAAUCCAUACUUGGGGGUUCUAAGGCAUUUAAUAAUUUGCAUGUAGCUAAGAUCAACUAUGGAUAUCAACUUGUAUACCACUGUGUGGCCGUUUGAUAGAAGACAAGUUCAAGUAUAAAUAAGAUGAACAUAAUUAUAAUAUUUUAAAACCACUAAUAUAAUAUAUAUUAUAUAUAAAGAUGAACAUAAUUACAUAAGCACACUCAAAGAGGUCAGUCCACCUAAUAAUCUUGUGCCAUGGAUCCUUGCAUUGCUUUAGAUUCCUUUUCCUACGGGGUGGAGCUGUCUUGUUGUAUGAUUGAACAACAUCAGACCAAUAUUGGUUGCCACCUAUAUUAGCUCCACAGGUCGAAACUGUUGAAUGUUCUAUCCAAGAGCUCAUGCAUCAAGCUGACAUCCUCAUUCUUUUUCCAAGGAAUUUGCUUCUCAGUCCUAGCAUUUUCAUCAUCAGUGUCAACUAGUUCAGGCUACUGCUUGUCCACUCUCUCUACUUCUACUGGUAAAAUUUCUUCAUGGUUGUGAACAGGUGCACCAACCUAAAAAUUGUGUGGCUGGUUUCCAAAGUAACUCAUAAACCCACCAGGUGGGCAUGGGUCGUCUUUAUCCCUGCAGGAAACAUAACAUCACUAAAAUGACUCUAUACAACAUUACUUUAAUUUGCACUAUCUGCUUCUCAUUCACACUAACAAAUAUCAAAUAGUUUAUAAGAAACAGAGCAUUAGUUUCAUUCUCAAACAUUUGCAACAAACAUCAUAGACCUUCAAAAGGAUCUAUGACACUACAUGCAGGGAAUAAAAUAUGUCAUUUGUCAACCAUGAUGAUCUGACCAGGAUGAACACACAUGCAGCCCAUAGCCACCCUCCUGCUAUUCUUCCCCAAAUAAGAUGAAACAAAUUGCAAUAUAUACAACUUAGCACAUUCAGCAGCUACCAAAGCUCUGUUCACAUUCAGAUACAGCUAGCAAGUUCACGCAGGUUCACAUUCAGAUAAUAACUAGCAAAGCUCUAUUCACUAACAGAUAAGAUAGAAUUUCACUAACAGAUAGGAGCAAGUCCAGAUCAAUUCACAGGUCAGGUGAUUAACAAGAUGGAUCCCAAGCUGCUGAGCGCACAAACGAAGGAGAAGCUGGAUCAACGUUGGUCGAAUUCCACCAAGCAGUAGAUGGUGAAGUGGGGAAUGGAAACCCACCGAAGACGAUGGAACCGUCGCAGCACUGGGGAAGGCACCUCCACUAGAUGUACCAAUGGAGAUAGGAGGUGUUGCCAUGCUGUUGCUGAGGGAACAGGAGAUGGGGGUACCCCGGUGCCACCACCGCUGAUCCACUUCCGCGACCUAGGGUUCAGCCCAGGGCAUCCGCGCCCAACGAUGAGCCUCCACCACGACUGAGGUUGUAGUUCGACGCCGUCGAGAUGGCUCCGCGACCGAAGGUGUGCACCGGGAACACCGCUAUCGCUGUCGCCGCAGUUGACGCAACAAUGGGGGUGUCCUUGCUCUUCUUGUUUGUGGAAGCUAGUUUGCACUUCCUCGCUGAGGUGCUAAACAUCGCAGCCACCAAAGGUUGGGGUGCCCGAUUGAGAAAGAAAGCUAGAGUGUUGUGGCUGCUUCACCGGUGAAAUAGGGAUGAGGCAGAGACGGAUUUGGCGGGACUGCUCCCUCCCAUGCGCGCCAAAACUUCAUUAGCAUGCACGCGAGUGCCCCAGAUCCGCGCGCCGUCGAGACAAGGGGACGACUCCUACAAUGCUGCUCGGCUGGUCUCCUUUGCAUCGGUGCAUGGGACGGCUCCGUCGCUUCACGAGACGACGGAAUAGUCGUCUUCAGGCCACAACGGCACAACAGAUUUUUUUUGUAAAAGUACCCACGAAAGGACGGGGUGAAGAGUUUUUAUAAAAGUACCCACGAAAGGACGGGGUGAAGAGCCCCGUUGUACAUACCCUUAUUACGCAACUCACGUGAGAAUGGAUAAAGGAUAUCUUAGGUUGGAUCCUAUGAACUAAUAAGUAUAAUUGAAAGUUUAGUCUUUAAAGAUCUAAACAAAUGAACUAGUUAGUGAGCUAACAACUAGCGAAAGCCUCAACUAAUUGUUACUUCACUAGCAUAUAGAGCCCAACUAGUUGGGCUAAUCACUAAUUCUAGUUCAUCCAAACAGCUCCUUAACCAACCAAACAAAUUGUCGUUUUUCAUUUCAGGCAACAGGUAGGGGCGGCACCCAUUUUCAUUUGCAGUACAGCCCCGAACUAAACAGAGAAAGAGAGACACACAUUUGGCGGCCAAAAAAUCUGGGUUUUGAUCUAUCAUUUUGCAUAAUAAAACUAAACAUCAUGCAAAAAUUUUUAGCAAAAAAAAUUAUUCUUCAUUUUGGAUUUUGGUCUCAGGAGGCCAAAAGCCCAAAAGAGUUACAAGAGACCAUAAUAAGAGCAAUAAAUUCUGUAUUCUAGACAAAACUAAAUAUAACCUUAAAAAUGUUAGUAUUUAGUAUUUUAUCAUUUCAAGGUAGUCGGCAUUUUGCAUUUUGCAUUUUAUGGGAAAUUAAACACCCCCUAGCACAACCAAAUCGUCAACUCCCAACACUGCAGGCUUGAUGGAGCAUCAUUACCACGCUUCGGUUGAAGCUAAGAGCUGCAAAGCAUUUGCCAGUGCCAUUACCACCACCAUUUCAUGUUGCAUGGCUUGACCGGUCGUAAGAGUCCCAUGCACGUCGCAACUCGCACAGGCAUUGCUCUUGCUCGCGGUGCCAUGAUUGCGCCUUUCACAAACUCAUAGUUGAUCAAUUGGAGCACUUGCGAUUAUUGAAUCAUUAUUGUACUACCAUUUAGUAUGAGAUUUGAAAUUUACUUAAUUUAAUUGGAUAAAUAACAGGCCAUAUCUAAUUAAUUAAGUCCAAGAGCUAACAAUUCCAGGCUGUAAUUAAUUGUGCGAGAUGAUGUGUUCCUAGUCCACGAUGACCUUGAGAAGGACAUUGAGGAAGACGAAGGCUGCAAACGAGAUCCUAGUUUCCAUAUCUGCCAGGGAUGGGAUUUCGGUGAGCUAGCUUAAAUAUAGAGUAUUAUGGCAUCUAGAAAUUAACAAUAAUACAGCAAUGCUUUACAGCACUCAAGUGUUUUACAGCAAUUCAACACUCAAUUCCUUUCUGUUCUCUUCCUCUCCCUCUCUUCUUCUCUAACUCUGGCAAGCUUAGAUGAGACUGUGGGAGGCAGGUCGGCCAAAUGGUGGAAACGGCAGGAGGACGACGGUUAGAGUUCCAGCGGUGUAGGAGGCGGUCGAACUAGGUCAGGGCGAGGGCAUCUAUGGCCAUACGACGGUGAGGGGAGGAGAAGAAGAAGGUUGUUGUGGGCGUAAUAGGGUCUCAUCGGAGCUCAAGACCCUACUGCACUGAGGCGGGGCAGUGGACGACGGUAGGGCAUCGGGAGGAGGAAGAGGACGAUGAAGAAAAAAUCAAGUGUUCUCGAGAGCCAAAACACUCAAGCGACAGAUGAUAGAUCCUAAUAUAGAAAUGCAACAAUGUAUCCAAAGUAUGGAGGCACUGCUGUGUUUGUUAUUCCCAUCCUAGAGGUAAUCUUUGGUGUCCACAGGGAGAUAUUUAUUUUGUUCGUGCCUCUCGAGCCUCACCAUAUCAAUUCUAAUUAUGUUUCCGUCUAAUGCUCCGUAUAUAUAAUACGCUAAUAAGAUAGUGAAAUAGACGAAACUGAUCGACACAUUAGGUUUUUUUUACAACAAAUAUUUUUCAUUUGAGCAGCAGGACGCUGCAAUCAGUCUAACAGACUGAAGGUUUACAUCUAUCAGAUGCAUCAGGAAUGGGCACUGAUAGGUAAGGCUCUGAUGAGAGCAUACAUGAUGGAAGAAAGAUUCAACAGGAACAAUAACUGAGAAAGCCUGUCUAUCUAAAGCAUAUGUUGUAUUAUUUAUGUUCCUAUUGAUUUUGAAGAUCAUGGCAUGACAUUGAUCACCUGUGUUCCUGAACAUCUGGGUGAAAAAGGUUUUAUCCUCCAGUCUACAGGAUGUUCUUGGUCAUCUUCAUGUAGGAAUUGUACUAGCUGCUGGUUAUUAGUGAGAAAGGUGGUGUCAGUGAAGUUGAGUCGUUCACUAACAACUGCUGCUAGAGCAAGUGCUACAACUUCCGCCAUGAGGACUGAGUGGACUUCCAAGGCUUGUGCUGUGAUGUAGAUGGUUUGUGUGGUUGUACCUAUGGAUUGACAAAAAAUCCCAAGUCCUAUAGCUAUAUACUGCCUGGUUGGUUGGUCAUACCUUAAGGAGGCAUCAAUGAAGCAUCUGACUCCUUGGAUGAGCUCCAAUAUAGAGAUGAAGUAUUUGUCUGUCUAAGGUGAAGCUCUUGCAUUAGAUGUGAUAAUACCUGGUGAAGUCGGGGUGGCUUGAUUUGUGAGCAUCAUUUUCUAGGGGGUUUGUGCUUGUUGUUCCUCCAUAGGGUGUGAGGUGCAGGUUCCUCCUGUUGGUGCUGCAUGUGAUCAGGUGCAGGCGUCUCCAUCUGUUGAGGUGUGUGGCUGUGAUCCUACGAAGUAAUAGCAAUGGCAGUUUGCGUACCUUGUGCAGUCAUUUGUGGGGGUUGAGGUGGGAUAAGUAGAGUGUCGGUUUGGUGGCUGCUAAUGUGGGCUACGACCACAUGGUGUACCUGCCAUGGAGUCCAAGUUUUUCUGUGAAAUCAAAUAUCAUUCCUAGCUUUCCACAAAUACCAGAAAGUGAUUAGUAAUUUGUUGAAUACAGUAGAUGGGAUGGCGGCGGGGAUGAAGCUUGGUAGGAUUAGUUGCACGCCAUUAGUAUCUUGAGGUAAAUUGUCAGUGCAAAGAAGGGGAUUUGAUGAGAAUACUGUUGUGGGAGGUGAUAGUGGAAGAAUAGGUGGGCAUCAUCCUCCACCACGCCAUAGGAACAUAGUGCUUGUCUAUGUGGGGGAGUAUCUCGCUGCUUGUUUUGUUGUAGCUAGGGCUCUUUUGAUGAGUCUCCAAGUGAAGGAUUUAACUAGAGAUGGUGGCUCCUUACUAUUCCAUUCUCUCUGCAUAAUGGAGUUAGCAUGGGGUCCACCUCAAGAUGUCAUGACCAUCACUAUGAAUAGUUGGUGUUACAGUUAUGACCUGUACAUCCUAAGCAUCAAAGAUGUUAGUGAUGAGGUGAACAUUCGUGUUAUGGGAAUUUGGUUGCUAAAGAUUAGAGAAAUGGUUGGCAUUGGAGAUUGAGUAGCUAGCAGGAUCAUGUGGUCAUGGAUAGAGUUCCGAAUGGGCACCAAGGGGUGGACCAUAUAGAACUGUUACUUGAAUGGAUCUAGUAGACAGAGUUGGAGCGAAGUUUAGUUUUGACCUACAAAAUAGAAGACCAGAAGAUUGAUCUAGGACCAGUGGUGUUGGCUUUCCAAAAGGAGGUGUUGUGGAACUAUUUAGCCUUAAGGACAGAGGUGAGCAUGGGGUUUUUAUUAGUAGCAAUGUUUGCCAAGACCCCCAUUCUUCUUGGGCUAGCAAAUGUCUUCCCAAGACAUGAACGCAAUGGGAGAUGUAGGGUUGUCUUUCUAGACUCUAGUGCACCAAAAUUUCCUGAUUAUAGUGUUGAUUUUACCUAUCAUAGUAUUAGAAAAUAGCACAGUACACAUGUAGUAUACAGGGACCAAAGCUAGGACAGAUUUGAUGUAAGUCAGUCUCCCUGCAUGAUUAAGCUUGUUAGCUUUCACAGUAGUUAACUUAGCUCUAAAUUUUUUAAGAAUAAACUCAUAAACCUUAUUCCGAUCAUUACGAUUAAAAUAAUCAGGUGGCCCAAGGUGCAUGCUAUUAGGAAGGAGGUCAGGGGUAGGAAAGAUGUUCCUGAUAUCAUUUCUAGUGGUCAAAGGCACCUUUUUACUAAAAAGGAUUGAGGACUUCUAAAGAUUGGGAGUUUGCCUAGAGAGGUGGCAAAAGUCUUGUAAAAUGUCCCAGAUUUUGGUGGCUUCAAUGAUGGAGGCCUCGCCACAUAAGAUUAGAUCAUCAACAAAGAGAAGAGAGUGAAUGGGAGGGCAACUAGGACCAAGGGAAAUGCCCAAAAAAUUGGAGUAAUGAGUUCAGUUUGAAGGUGAAUGGAUAGCUCAUUGGUGGCCACAACAAAAAGACAAUGAGAGAGGGGGCAGCCCGGGCGAAUACCAUGAUGGGGAGUGAAGGAGGUGGAAGGCUCUCCAUUGAUAAGGAUGGAGAAAGUAGUAGUGGAAAUACAAGCUUGAAUGAGGUUGGUGAAAUUGGAGGGCAGCCCAAGACGAUUUAGAGAGUCCCAAUUCAGACAAUCAAACGUUUGGCCAGGUCAAGCUUGAGAUAAAAAAGCUUGCUGGUUCCAGUUUUUUAGGUUGGAAGAGAUGUGCCUGUGUUUUGAUGAAUGCAACUUAAGAUUAUUGAGUCAAUCGACAGCAACUUUGGCGUUUAGUAGAACACAGCAUGGUGCCAAGAUGAUACUACGAUGUCAGCAAAAACUUGUGGGAUCCACCAUUUAGUAAACGAUUAAAGAAAUUUUGAUUUCUUUUUUGUCGUUUCUGCACACCUCCAUGCCUACCAUACGUGUACUGUGUUGUUUUCAGUGGCGGAGGCAGCUGGCAAGGUUCGGCCUCCGCCGUACCUAAAAUGUAUAGAAAACACUAGUAUAUUAUGUGUAUAUACGGUUAUACACGUGAAAUAUACAUGGCUUAGCCUCUGCCACUGUGCACGAAUAGAUUUUGUUUGUGGGCUGGUAUCUCGUGGGCUUACACGACUACGAGCCCGUUCGCUUCUUAGCUGUACUUUUUUUCAGUGAUUUUUUUUUGACCAGCGAAUAGGCUCUAUGUCAAAAGCCCACGACACUAUCCAUAGAAGGAAGCAGCUCAUUGGUCUUCCUGCCUUCCUGGCUGGUCGACUACUCCAGGUUUUAGUGGCCGACUUGUUUAGUUUCAAUUUUUUUUAGCAAAAUAGAUACUGUAGCACUUUUGUUUGUAUUUAACAAAUAUUAUUCAAUUAUAGACUAACUAGGCUCAAGAGAUCUGUCUCGCAAAUUAUAGACAAACUGUAUAAUUAGUUAUUUAUUUUAUUUAUAUUUAGUGUUUCAUGCAUGCAGUGGCGGAGGCAGGAUUUUUGCUUGGGAUAUGCCAAACAAAAAGUUUUCAUAUACAAAUCGGUAAAAUCUAUUUAGCAAUUCGGUAGAAUUUUAUAAAAAAAAUGUCUAACAAUUCGGUACACAACUGUUAAGGCCUUGUUUAGUUCCAAAAUGGACAUUGUAGUAUUUUCGUUUGUAUUUAAUAAAUAUUAUCCAAUCAUAGACUAACUAGGCUCAAAAGAUUUGUUUCGCAAAUUACAUGCAAAUUGUGCAAUUAUUUUUUAUUUAUAUUUAAUACUUCAUAUAUGUGCCGCAAGAUUCGAUGUGACAAAGAAACUUUCAAAAUUUUGCUAAUUUUUUGGGACGUAAACAAGGCCUAAAUGGCAUAAGUCGUGCGUCCAUGGUGUGUUUGAAAGGAGCGUCCGAGAGCAGGUGCGAGACGAAUACCGAGGUCUUGUUUAGUUCUUCUAUGGUCUCCAAUGGGAGGGUUAGCUGAUCCACAUUAGUUAACCACUACUCCACAUUGGGCAAAGUGAUUUUGUUAACGCACGUAGCCACGGUAAAUCAUAAUUAAAGAGCCAUCGUGAUCAACUUUCAUUAUGUGAGCUUGAACAAAAUGAUCAACAUCAAGAGUUGGCCUACAAAUAAUUGUAGAGCUUUGCUAAAUUUCCACACCCUUUCUCCCACUCCAAAAAGCCAAAGUGCUCAAUCCUUAAGCAAAUCAUUCCACCAGGAGAACAAAAGCAAUGUUGUGGUGAUCAACAUCAAGGUAUAUCUGUAGAGCUUUGCUUUUACCGGUUAACGUGCAAUAUGAGUGCACAAUUAUGUUUAGGAUAGAUUUAUUAAGCUAAUAUUGUUAUCUAGUGCCACUAGGUGGGGACUAACAAUACACAUGUGUUAGACUCAGUGACAUGGUGAGGAAGCAAGUGAAAACCUUUGAAAAUGCAAACUCAGUGCUAAAGGUGUUAUUGUUCCGUCUGCCACAUUUGGGAGAUAUCAUAUUUGAAAAAGGGUUUAAGAGAGGGGCUUGGUGAGAUGGUUUGAAUAGUCACUAGAUAAGUCCGGUGGUCAUCAGAGCUUAGGCACACCCACUUUACUAGUCUAGUCAUCAGGCUGUCUCACUCUGUAGUGGGCCACCAAAAAUAUCCAUGCCUCUAGGUCCGAGCACUAAAGUUUAGGCUCCUUCACUUUGGGAGAGAAGGGGACGCUGGACACGAGGCAACAAUCGGCAAUGGCUGCAAAGCACACAAAGUUUAGAAGGAUAAAGGAAGACGACUAGAGGAGGUUAAAUAGUCAUUUCUAUAACUAAAUCAUGAAUCCUAGGCAAAUAAAUAACAUUAAUAAACUAUUUGUCACUUCCCACUAUAACAGCAGAAAUAAAACAACAGAGAUAAUCUAUUUUCAUAACAAUACAAUAAAAGGUACAUGACUCAUUAUUUCCAUGAUGAUUCCAUCCCUACCUGCGAGCGUGGAAAGCCUAAAAAGCCUCUCUCCACGGCCUUCCUAAAAAAAGCCCACCUGGCCACCUGUAGUUCAAUAUAAGCUACUGGAGAAGCUAGGCGUUUGGUCCAUCUCGAACCGCUUUUAAAGCUAAACAGCCCAAUAACCCAUUUCAAACAAGGUCGAAGCCCAAUGAGGCAGGUGGCCCAAAACCUGACCCGAUUCUCUCCCAAUUCUUUUUCCUCGUGUUGGAAUCGGAAUUGGAAUUGGAAUUUGUACGUAGUGGCGGCGAUAUCUGGUUCAGAGUGGGUGUUGAUUCGUGGAGAGCAGCUGGUCGGGCCCAUCCGCGCAGUUGGCUUGGCUUGGCCGCUGCCGCCCGUGCUCGCACCGGCCGCCCCACCUCCAUCUUCCCAUGGUGGUGGUAUCAUCCCCCCCCUUUCCUCUUCCUCCUCCCCACGUGCAACCACCUAACCCCUCUCCCACCGCCCUCCUCGCCUAGCCCGCCGCCACAGCGGCCGUCGACGAGCGCCAUGCCCGCCGCGGCGUCCACCUCCGCGACCUCGCUGCUGCUGGGCGGCGGCAGGCUCCCGCGGCUCCAGCUCCAGUCCCUCCGCGCCCCCGCCAAGCCCCCCUUCCGCCGCCCGGCCUCGUCCCCGUCCACACCGCUCCCCAGAUGCCGCGCCAGCGCGAGCCCCCGCCCUCUGGGCCCCGUCUCCGCCUCCGCCCUCGCGCUGCCCGUGUCGGUGACGGCCGCUCCCCCACCGCAGGUGGAGGAUGGUGGCUGGGUGGGAGGCGCGGCCGCGGCCGCGGCCGUGAGGAGAGUAGCUGUGGCGGUGGCGUGCGGGGCGCUCGCGGCGGCGUGGUGCCGCCGGGCGAUGGCUGUGGGGGCGGCCACGGCGGCGGGAGCGGGAGCGGGGGCCGGGGCCGGGGCGACGGGGGCGGUGGAAGCUGCCGCGGGGAUUGGAGGGAUGGCGCUGCACGGGGGCUGGCCGAGAGUGCUGCAGAUUCUGCAGCUGCUCAGGGAGCAGGGCCUGGUUCUGGCCGCGCUGCUCGGCCUCUCUGCGUUCUUCUCCAUGGCAGAAACUUCUAUCACGACGCUUUGGCCUUGGAAGGUGCGUUCAGCAAGUCUACGGAGACCCAUUUUCUUAAACUCCUGUUGUUGCCAUAGUAAUUACUGUACGUACGCGAAAUGAACUAUGCUUCCAGUUUUGCAAUCGGUUUGGUUCACUGAGCUACGAGGUAGGAUAUUGGGAGAUUUUUGGAUACUUAGAUGAGCAGAUUGGUAUUGGUGUAGUGUUGCUGCUAAGAGGGGAUGCUGAGAUGGGGUGAGUGUCUUAUGGGUACGUCCUUGUAUCAACUACUAUACUCAUUCUAAAUGGGUUUAUGCAAUGAGUAUUUGUAUGAACAAAGCAAACGGAUACGCACUAGCUUAGGCUGUUGGGUUGGGCUGUGGCAUGUGUGGGUCGAGGAUGUGGCGGUUGUCAUGCACAUCCUGCUUCAGCAGUGAUGUGAUAAUUUUGUCUCGCUUGCUGAUGACAUAAUCCACAGCACAAGUUUGUAUUUGAGAAGUGAUGUCACUGCUGGGAGUGUUGCUGAAAGACAUGGGGAAAGCAUUAUUGCUCCUUCCUUUUUUUUGUAGGAUAGAGGGCUGAGCAGCAGGCAUAACUGAUUGACAAGCUGACAACAGCAAGGUGCUUCAGAUAUAAUGACAGUGUGCACAUGCGCUUUAGUGACAUGUUGUGCUAGUGAUCUGUAGGAGAAUUAGGCAGGGAAUCUAUGCAAGGAAAGUUUUUAUUAUUUUGAAACUGGAACUAAUGACACUGGUAUUGGAUUACCGGUCUUACUGACUUUAUAUAUAAUCUCCCUUCACACCUAAUCUCAUCAACUGGAUAGGUAUUUCUGGUUCAGAAUAUUUAUAGCUUUGAACAGAACAUUGGUGCUCUUGUAACUAUCAUUAAAGGGGUCCUGCCUCUUUGUUCAUGUUUAUCAACAUUUAAAUUCAAUUCUAAUUCUUCAAAGACUACAACAAGGUGAUCAAUGUAAAUUGAUGGCUGGAUUCGGUUAAUCACAUGUUGAACUUGCAUUUUAUUUUUAGUAGAGGUUUAUUUGCAAGCACAGGAAUAAUGAAGCCCUAGGUUUAGUGCAUUUUUUCCCUCCAGAGUUGAGCCUAAGGAUUCAAGUUCACUGACACUUAUCAUUGUGGGUUCAAGCAUUUGCACACAUAUUAGCAUAUUGAAAUGGCUAAAGUAUUAGAGGUUGGUGCUAGAGUCUUUCCAUAACAGCGCACUUGGGACUGAAGUUUGAUUCAUGCAAAAUUUUUCAAUUGAAUCAUGCUUGAUGUUCAAAAACUAGCAAGAAUCAUAGAAAUAGCAACACUGUAUUGUGUAAUAGGUUGCAUACCUUUUCCCCCUUUGCAUUUGUUUAUUUUUCUAACGUUGUUUGGAAAUUGCCACAUCAAGGCCUAAUUUUCUAGUGAUCUGCCUAGCGCCCAAUAGCUAGCUAGCCUCUCUACUCAAGCAUUGAGGCAUCACCCCCUUCUACCCACCUAGGGCAUUUUCAGAUCAGUGUUUUGAAACUUUGCUUCGUAGUGGUACUCUUUUCUUAUUGUAACUGACUGUAUGCUGAGAGCGAAUAUCUAUAUGCUGAGACUUUGCUGAUUUCUUUUUUCCUUUGCAUUAGGUUCGUGAACUAGCUGAGAAGGAACCUGAGAAUGGUGUUUUCAAAAUGCUCCGAAAUGACGUCACUCGUUUCCUGACAACUAUUCUCAUUGGCACAACGUAAUCCAUGGCAUUUCUAAGUUGUGCAUCACUCAUUGCAAUUUUGUUUUACUAACCCUAAACCCUAAUCUCGGGCAUAAUUUGUAUGAAAUAGUGUGGUCAACAUUGGCGCAACAGCAAUUGUUACUGAGGCAGCAACAGCAAUGUUUGGUGAAGCAGGUGUUAGUGCAGCAACAGGUGUCAUGACAGUAUGUCUCCUGUCUCAUACUGGCCUUCUGCUCUUGUGUAAGUGUUCUUUAAUCUAACUAUGGAGCACCAUUUUUUAGGUUGCCAUCUUACUUCUUACAGAGAUCACUCCCAAAAGUGUUGCAGUCCAUAAUGCCACCGAGGUCGCUAGGUUUGUGGUAAGGUGAGAGAUAUCAAGUAUAACUUAGUUUCAAACAUGUUUAUUUUGAGUACUGAACAUUGUGCAUUUGUUGCGAUAUAUCAGACCGGUCGCAUGGCUUUCGCUGAUCCUCUAUCCAGUUGGGCGGAUUGCUACUUUUCUGUCUAUGGGAAUGCUAAAGAUUCUAGGCCUGAAAGGGAGAAGGUAAGACUGUAAGAGUAUGUAUAAUACUCUAGUUCUUGAUCAACUAGAAGAUAAAUUCUUUGAAAAUAUGCCAACUCAAUAAGCUCAUGUUAGUCAUAGAUUAUAUCCCCCAUUAGUUAUGAUAUGCUUUCAAGAAGGAUACACAAACAAUAAAUUAAUUCAUGCCACAAGAACCACACAGAACUCUUUUUUAAGAGCAUAUGGCUUGCUCUGCGUAGUGGAUAUAACCAGGGAAGCACAAGGAUUGAGUUUCUAGGUGUGUGUGGGUUCUGCUCAGGUGGGCAACUCUAGCUUCAUCCAUCUGUAUCUUUUUCUUGAUGAAAUGGCAUGCAGCUCUUUUGCGUCAUUCGAGAAAAAAUAACCAGGGAAGCACACUGAUUGAGUUCCUGGUUCCUGCCAAAUAAAAUCUCACCUGUUUUCUUUUAAAAAUGGAUUAAACUUGUAUAUUACUAGAAUUCAAGUACAAAUGAGAUGGUACAACAUGGACUAGAUUAGACUAGUUUGAGUAUGUGUUGAGUCUAGUUUAUAGGGUGAUAGUUGUACUUUCUAAAAUUUCUAUAAUUAGUAAAUAGUGCAGUGACUAUAUUUUUAAUCAAUAGAUGACCGUUGACACUAUUCCAAGAAUUGCAUAUCAUCUGUUAUUGUUCAUGAAGGAUCUAAUUCUAGUUUGAAUUUGCUAGAAACUUAUUGAUUGCUUUCUGUAUAAUUUAGUUUACAAAUUGAAUUUAGUAUCUGAUAUUGUAAUACAAUACACAUUUGUAUGUUAUUUUUUGCAUUUUUUUUACAAAAUCCAGUACUCAAGUACAUUGAUUUGCUAUGUCUUUUAGUUACUACAUUUGUAUAUGUUUAACCAAUAUACAAUUGAGAUUCCUAUAUAGAUAAGAUUUAGUUUUUCUUUUUCAUAACUCUUGACAUUUCUGGAGAUCUACUUCUGAAUCUUGUGCAUCAUAUACACUUCUUUCCUCAGUGAACCAUAUGUUACUGAAGAUGAACUGAAGUUAAUGUUACGAGGAGCAGAGUUGAGUGGUGCAAUUGCAGAAGAUGAACAGGUUAGACAAUCUAGUAUAUGGAGAUGCCCAUAUAUUGUGCUGCAUAUUUCCUUCUUUAUUCUUUAUGUUUCUGUGUACCUCACAGCAAGAUUUUGUUAUCCAGUGCAAUCUAGGCAAAGCCUUUACUUACAAUUUUUAUAUCAUAUAGAAAGCUGACUACUUACAUAAAUAAAGAGUGAAUUAAUGAAAUUUCAGGAAAAUAGUAACUAACGUUUUUGCAUGAUUUUAACUGCUAAUUUAAUGUUUGUACACCAUCUCAUCACAUAUAUCCAGAAUUUGAAAAGCAGUAUGGCCCCAAAGGUUUGAGUUAGAUUAUACUGUUGCAGACUAGGAUUUUGCCUCUUGAUAGUUUACUAGCACACUUUGGCUACUUCUUUGUUUUCUUGAAAACGCAGGAGAGCUGCACUUCAUUAUAUUAAGAGGAUAAAGGGCAAGAGCCCGAACAACCCCACAAACACCAUACACACACCACACACAUCACACACUCACGCCCCAACAGAAAUGUUACAUUCGCGCCCGUAAGAAAACACACAACGCGACCACUACUAGGCUAAACAUUUCUAACUAUCGGGGAGGAGGGCAGUCAAGAAUGAUAGCUCUCGAGCUGCUGCCAUAGACCAUAAACGGCGCUCCUCGCCUGCUAUGAUCAGAGCGCCAGCAAGGUUUGGAGCUGCUCCAUCAAAGACACACCCAUUGCGAUGGUUCCAUAUAGUCCAAGCUCCGAGCAUAACAAGAGAAUUAAUUCCUUGCCUUGUCAGCCCAUCAGCAGUGCUGCUAGCCUUCUCCCACCAAGCAUGGAAGGAUAAUUCUGUAAGCUGAGGGGACAAAAGCCUGAUUGAACCAAAAUUCUCUUGUGAACACACAAUGGACAAGUAGAUGGUCGAUAGUCUCCUUUUCAUGGUCACAAAGGAGGCAAUUCUCCGGAUGAGGUAACCCUCGGCGUGCUAGACGAUCAGCUGUCCAGCACUUAUUGUGCGACCAGCCACAUAAAGAAACGGCAUUUGGGCAGCACCCAUGAUUUCCAAAUCUUUUCCCAUGGUCCAAAAAGAGUAGAUCCGAAAAAGAAGCCUUCAUAUGCCGAUUUAGCCAAGUAUUGUCCAUUAGAGGAGAGCCUCCAUAGGUGCUGCAGCUGAAAAUCCAGAAGUAGAUCCCACCAUAAGUGAAAGUAGUCAACAAACCCACCAACUGUGAGCGCUCCUUGUAUGUCCAAAAUCCAAGCCCGGUUAGUAAGGGCAUCCUGGACAGUAUGCUGCUUAACCCUCCUUUUAGGAGUAGCCACAAAAAGUCGAGGGGCAAGAUCUGCAAUGCAUUGCCCAUUGAUCCGAUCUGUCCAGAAAAGAGUGUUUGCACCAUCCAAUUUCAGAAGUUACUGCCACUGAGUAGAAGGCUCUUACUUGCUUCGGCACAUGGAAUGGUAGAGCAGCCCAAGGACAAUGAGGUUCUGUUUUCUGCAGCCAAACCCAUCUCGUGCGCAAGGACCAGCCAAGGGUUUUUAAAUCUGAAAUUCCCAGGCCUCCAAGCUCUGGUGGGCCACAGACUUUGACCCAAGCCACAAGACAAUGACCACCUUUUUGCAUAUUUUCGACCCCUCCAAAGAAAGCCACGCCAAAUUUUAUUUACCACUUUGAUAGCCAUGGAGGAAAGUCGAAAGCAAUAGCUAAGUAAAUGAGCAUUCUCAGUGAGAACUGAUUGUACUUGAACCCUUCUUCCAGCCCUUGUCAUUAGGUCUGCCUUCCAGCCAGGAAGUUGAUCUGCAGUACGAUCAAUAAUAGGCUGCACUUGUUUCUUUAGGGAGAGGGGCAGACCUAAGUAUUUGCAUGGGAAAUCCGAGAGGGGCACACCUAGCUAGUUUCUUUGGCUACUGUUAUCCUUUAGGUAUUUUGCAGAACCUUUCCAUAGCAAUCCCAUUAAUCUUUAGGAAGCGAUCCCAUUUGUUAAAGCCCCUGCAGGCAACUUUCAAGUUCAUUAUUCUCGAUCACAGGUAGUCAUUCUGCAUAUUUUUCCCUCAGAAUCAUCAUAAGAAUUGGGUUAAGUGGAUAGGUCAGACUAUAGCAUGGAAAUACAUAAGUACUGAUAGGUUGUUGAAACUAUCUAAGACUACAGAUUUAUCGUGUCAAUUUGUCACAAAUAACAGAUUUUAGCUGAUGAAAUCAGUACUUCUGCAGUACAUAGAAAUACUAAAUGUGUAGUUUUAGUUUUGCAAAAACAAGGACACUAAAUUUAUAAUUCUGUGAUAAAACUUCUUAAAUCUGUAGUUUUGUGAUAGCAUAGCCCACUCACACAUAUACAAAAAAAAAGAAAAAGAAAAAAAGGAACCAUAUAGUUAUUUAUGUGCUUAGAUUCUAGGCCCUAGAACUAGAACCUAUAGCUGUGUUACACUAUUAUGAAUUCCUAGUCCGUGCCUGCUUGUGCAGGACACUUUUCUACUUGAUCAGCUAAAGUCAGCACCUGAGUCUUUUAACAGGAUAUGAUCGAGAAUGUCCUGGAAAUUAAAGAUACACAGGUGAGGGAAGUAAUGACGCCUUUGGUGGACGUAGUUGCAAUUGAUGCUAUUGCAACACUUAUUGAUUUCAAAAACUUGUGGGAAACUCAUCAGUACUCUAGGUAUUGUCAACUAUUAUUGUCGCGUGUAUUUUCAAGUCUUAUCACUGACAUCUGCUGCUAUUUGUUAUUUCCAGAGUUCCUGUAUUUGAGGAGCGCAUAGAUAAUAUUGUUGGAAUUGCAUAUGCAAUGGACAUGCUUGAAUAUGUUGAAGAGGUAUGUCUCUUGUUUACCAUUUAAUGUAAAACUUAAUCACAGUGAGUCUUAUUUGCUCCACAUGAUGCUUCUCUAAAGGGAAAGUAAAAGGUGUAUUUUUCUUUUGAAGGUUGAGAAGCUGAAUGAAAUCACUGUUAAGAAAAUCGCACAUAUGCCUACAUACUUUGUUCCAGGUAAUUUUUAGUAACAUUGUUGGAUACAAGUAUCAUGAUGAACUAAAAGAAGGCAUCUGUCAGUAGUUAUAGGGUUGGAUGUUUUUCCACAACAAUUAAUCAUUUCUGCCACAUGUUUUCUCCCAUCUAUGCAUCAUGGAUGUAACAUAUGAUACUGUUUCAUCUGGCAGAUUCAAUGUCUGUUUGGAACCUAUUAAGAGAGUUCCGGAUCAGGCAGGUUCAUAUGGCAGUGGUCCUUAAUGAAUAUGGUGGAACUAUUGGUGUAUGUCCCUAUGAAACCCAUUUUUUAUACUUUACAAACUGGACACAGUUUAGUACUUGUUAAUAUUCUUGUUAUGCUUUCAUCCAAGGCUAGUUGCUCAAUUGAGACCAUUUUGACUUAUGGCACACAACGAGGUUCAACAUUGUUUACUCCAAUCAAUUUUUAGUUGUAACUUCCAAGCAUGCUAGUUAGUUUGCUAAUAAUUGAUGAAUGCUAGUCAGUACAUGGUGACAUUUUGAUGGCCAUUUAUUGGCAACACUACUGGCUUUUGUUCCACAAUGGUCGUGUUUUUAGCACAAGCAUGUGGUGCGAUGCUUCAAGUGAUCUUGCUGCACAGCUUAUGUAACUGCAGCAAUGGGGCACUUUUCAUCUGUUGCAGUAGCAGUCCCUGUUGUUCAUGGUUUGUUUCCUUUUAAGAUAUACCCCACACAUAGAGAUUAGUUAUGCUCCAUGCAGCAGAGAUUAUUACUUUCCACAAGUUUAGAGAUUGUUUCUUAGGAAGUAGUUAUGCUCACAGUUUGUUCAUCAGUUUCUGUUUUCAGAAGUAGUUGAUGAGCGAUGAACAUGUUUUGAUUAUGUUUGCUGCUGAAAGGAUAAUUCUUUAAGAUGUUUUUCUCAUUACUGAUGCUCAUUGGUAAAAGUUGCAAAUGAUUGGACAAAGCUACUACCCGUGAGCUUCCUUUGUCUCACAUACCCUUCGAGCAAUUACGCUUUAAUGUAGCAAUAUCUAUCCAUUACUUGCAGCAACUAAGUCCUAUUGUAUUCAGAAAUGUUUAUUAGAACAGUUUGUAAUUUCAUAUGUUUAUCACUGCAUGGGACAUUGGGAAUUACUCUGACCUUUGGCCAAAAAAAAAUGCAGAUUGUAACACUAGAAGAUGUAGUGGAAGAAAUAGUUGGUGAAAUAUUUGACGAGAAUGAUUCCAAGGUGAUUAUUUCUGGAAUUUUUUAUUUCAAAUCGCAAGUGGGUGUUCAGUGCCAUACAUAUGCAUGCUAUUAUUUUCUAUUUCUUUUUCAAAAUUAUUUCCCCCUUUCUUUUGGUUUAUUAUUCCCUUUUUGCCUUGUAACUAUCGUUCUUAUAUUACAUAACUGACUUUUCAUAUGUUGGUAAUAAAUAAUGAUAUGCUAGCAUUUGAACUUACGAAAUUUAGUGGGCCAAACAUACUGAGCCAUGCCAAAAAAGACAGGCAAAUCAUACAGUCAUAUUUUAGCAGCAGCAGUGCAUUAGCGCGGUGGGUACUGAGCCGGAGUUUGCAUGUGCCUGAAGGUGGCUGAAUGAAUAAGGUGGAUAUUACCCUACCCGCACCCAAAUCAAAAUGUGUAUUUUAUUUCUACCCAUACCCUCCCCAAUUAAUGCGGGUGUGGAUUUGAAUAUGGGGAUUGAAUAUCCAGCGGCAGGUAUAAAGAUUAGAUCUCCUGCCUCAGUGCUUCUCCAAGAUCUGGAAGCAGCUGCUUCACUCCUAUUUUCUGUAUCCUAGUCAAAACAAAGGAUUUUUCCAUGUAGCAAGCUAGUUGCUCUUUGUCAUUUGCUUAGGCAGUCUCUCAAUUCCUUCUGCUACUCUGUUUUUCACCCUUUCAGGAGGAAAUCCAGAAGAAAACAGGCUAUAUAGUGAGGCGGGGAGAUGGAACAUUUGAUGUUGAUGCAAAUACAUCAAUAGAUCACCUCUCUGAAGAGCUUGGUAUCAAAAUACCAGAGGUAUUGUUUCUCAUUUGAUCUUAGCUUUCUCUACAGUUGCUAUGCAUUCCCUUGGACAUGUGUAUAUUUAAGGAAGGUAUGGCUCGGAAAAUAGUAGAUUGAUUAUGAGUAGUACAAAAGGGUAGGCAAGGAUGAUCUGGGAUUUAUAGAACAAUACCCAAUCAGGGAGAUCCUUGCCUAAUAGCUAAUCAACUACAUAAAACCCAUGGAGGCAGGCUUAGGUGCCAGGGCCCAUGCGGCCAGCCCAAUAGCCCUCUGGAAACUCCAUUCUAACAUAUAUGUUGGAGUGGACACUGUAUGAUGAUCAUCGAAAUGUGAGUUCCAUCAUUUAGAGAUGCCUGGUUUGCAGAACCUAUACAGAUAUAACGUUAUUAUAUCUAUUUUUUGGUGGAAACUGGACAUUUAAUAUUUAGGUCAACAAAAUAUUCACAAAUGUUCUGUUUGUAAAAUAUGCCCUUGGUAGUCAUCAUUUAUAUGGUGCUCUGUAUUUCUGUCAUGUUUCUCGUAGAUUGGCUGAUAAUCUUGAGACACUUGGACACUAUCUUUUGGCAGGGGCAUCAGUAUGAGACGGUGUCUGGUUUUGUCUGUGCAUCUUUUGGCUAUAUUCCAGAAGAAGGUGGGAAAAUGCUUGUGAUUCUUGAAAAGGAUUACAGAGAAGAAAACGGUGAAUAUCAGGAGGAAGGUUCUGAUCGCCAAGAUGAUAGAGAAAAAACUCAAGCUUACGAACUUGAGGUAAUUGUUACAACUCCUUGUGUACUCUGUUUGCUCAAGAGUUCUAGUACCAGGUCAAUUAUUAUAAUGCGAUUAUCUUGUCAUCGCUAGAAAUCUUUACUAGUAUAUAUAACUAUUAUGAAUUUUCCUUCAUUACUUGAAAGCUGAAAGACACCACAAAAGCUUCAAUUUUCUUUGUUGAUGCAAUACCAUGAAACCUUUUUUGUUAAAUAACUCUCAUUAGAACCAAUUUUCCAUACAGGGCAUUUGGUUCUUAGAUCAUUUUAUAGGAUAUUUCGUACUAUAAGUAAGAACCAACUACUAUCCACAAUUACCUCUACAUGCUUGUUUGUGCAUAUAAAAAGACAACAAUACUCAGAAGGUUGCUGUAACAUGUCCACACUCCGCUUUUGUGGUGCUAAUACUACCGAACAUUUGUAAUUGCUUUUUUUAUUUGAAGCUAAAAAAAGAAAGUAUACAAAAACUAAUAGAUAAGAAAACCAACUACUCAAUUGUCAAUUCAGAAUUCAUACUGUGGGUUAUAAGGUUAUUUCAGUGAAAUUGUUUUGGUAUUGGUACACAACCUUUAUUAGUUGGUGCAACUCCCAUUUCCGGAAGUCUUCGUACACUUUAAUUGAAUUGCUGCAGCCCUAGGAAUCCAUAGUUUCUGUUUCACAAUUCACCCAAAGUUUCAUUCUUUGUUGCAGAAUUAAAUAACCUUCUGUAGUUGUUUUCACUACCUUUAUUACCUGGCUUCUCUUGCUCACAGAUAGUGGAAGCUAAUGCAAGGAAGGUGGGCAAAGUCCUAUUUAAGCCAAUAAGCAGUGAAUGUGUUGGUGUUGACAACAAGGGUGUGAACCGCCUGGUCUCCAAGAAGAUCAUCAAACGGAAGAAGCAGGGCUAUGAUGAUUCCUCCGGUGACGAGUAUCCAGAUACAACAGAGAAUGGCUGCCCUGCUGAGGCACUCUCCUACUCGGAUGGUAACAGUGCCUUGUUGGAAGAUGCAAGCAGUUCUAGUGCCAAGAGGUGACAAUAAAGGAACUCCAAGACCAUCGUACUACUGGUAAUAAUUACAGCACACCGUCACCGGUCCUAAUACCCCUUGUUACAACAGAAGAAGAUGAGAAGAACAUAGUAGUAGGCUACCCAAAAAAAAAAACUGCGAGAGCAACACCAAGAGGUUAACAGCAGUUUAAGGCAUUGCAACAUUUUUCAGUAGCAGGAGUAGCAGUAGUAGCAGUCUAGAGGUGCAGCGAGGUGUCGACGUCGACUUCACCAGAGACAUGUUUGUAGUUGUAGGUCUUACUGGGCCACAGCUCCACCGCAAUGGGGUCGCUAUCGCCGUGGAGCUGGAAGCUUUUGCAUUCACAGACAGUGGUUGGCACGGCCGGGAAUAAGGAGGCUGCGGCGGCAACAGCGGCAGUGGUUUCCCGCAGCGGCCUGCACGGGUAGAGCAGCUCCGGGUGGAAGAACCACUUGACGGGCAUCUCCCUCGGGGAGGCGGUGGCCGCAGGGCGGGGGGCGAGCACGUGGAGAAGCCUCUCCUCCCGCUUCUCCCUGAUCCUCUCCAGCUCCCUGAACCUCUGCUGCAGCAGGGCGAUGGAGGAGAACAUCACCUGGCCUUCGCUGCUCUGCACCCCCAUGAUGACUGGGCGAGAGGGGGAGCUCUCACUCCAGCUCCGAGUUUCAGUUACGUGUUCGUGUCGUGUGUAUCUCACUCAAGCGUCUGUCUACUUCGCUCGGUGUGUGUGGGGGUUUUGCUUGCUGCUUGAAGGGGUGGUGGUCUUGGGCAUGUGCGUAUUUAUAAGCCGCAAAGUUUUGUCACGGCGCAGGGCGUCGUCUUGUGGUCGUCUUGCAAGUUGCGCCAAUUCUUUCAUCUUCAUCUUCCAUUAUGUGAUGCUAUGCCUGUUUGUGUGUUUUGUUUAUGGGCUGAUUGAAAAACAAAAGAGGCACUAUUGGUAUGAGAGAGAAUCUGGGAGGAGAAUGUCACGUCGCCCGAGAAAGGAAGUGGGAGGCGUGCAGGUGAGAGAAUAAGGGGCGUGGCGUGGGAGAGUCCAAGGAAAUGGGGCUGUGGACGCUUGCGCUUGUUCCGUUCCUGGCGGUGGGAAUCGCCGUGUGCCGUUGUGAUGUGCGGGGUGGCCAUGAUUGCGCCUCUGUUUGUCUGUCACCUUUUUCCCUUGCGCAUUGCUGCAGCAGCAGGGCAGGGGAGAGGUCUGCAUGCCCUGCCAUGCCCUGCCCUGCUGCUCGUACUAGCUCGCUACUACUCCCUUCCCCCUCUCCAUCCAAACGGGCACUGCGAGCUUUUCCUGGUCUAUAAUGGCGUCGUUGGAGCUGUAGUACGUGCUGUUCGUAGCAACUGUGGGCAGCGCUUUCAGGUGUGGAACUGUGCACUCCAUGAGCCAUUGUCUUCGUUUGCGUGUGUGAACGUGUUGGAGAGUCUGGGAGCAGAAAGUCUGCGUUGAACGUUACUUCUUUGGGUCUUUGACUGGUGCGUCCAUAGAUCUGUGAAUGGGAGCGCUGAUUGCACGCUGCGUAGUACAGUGCGUUCGAGUAACGCUGAGACGGCGUGCUGCUUUGAAGUUUCAACUUUUGGUUAAUUCAGGAAAGUUGAUUGAUCUUAUGUUUUUUGACGGCCAGGUAAACACGGCCAAUUGCACCGGCGUCAAAAAGACCUCUGUCAUCCGAUGCUUUGGACAGUAAUUGAGAUAUUCGUAACAAAUGCUUCACUACCCGAAGAGAAAACUAGUUUUCGUUGGUUUCCGCAUUUUGUGAAAAUAAGAAAGGGCAUGUUUGAGUCAGAGUCGGGUUAUUAUAAUUGGAUUAUCGACUCUAAUAAUUAGAGUGCUAGAUUUUUUGUGGUGGAACCUAUCCAUUUCUUGCCUAGCCAGCCAACUAUCAUGAUGCUACAUGGUAUUUAAGUAACGACCAUUUUCUCAAAUGGUCAAGGAUUAUAUUCUUCUUUGAUUUUUUUUUCCCUUCAAGUGGCCUAGGGUUUUGUAGUCUAAUGUGAACAAUAUCAGGUGAAAACAAAAUAGCAUCAAAGAAUAGAUAGCCAAAAUGCCUAACGAAAAGGAAAAUUGUGGGUUACAUGUCUCAUGAAUUAUUUGAUGAAGUAGAAUAAGAUACGUUCGGUUAUUUGAGAGAAAAAAAAACUGCACAACAUAAAAAAAUAACUGUUUGCCUAGUUGGCUAAGAAAAAAUAUAGUGGGCUCCAUGGCUCCUAAGACUCUUUAAAUAUCAUGUAAAUGGAUAUAAAAGAAGUCAAUAAAUCAUUCUGCUGAUAUUGACUGAAUUAUUUGCUAUCAACAAUUAUCCAAAAAAGAUUUCUUUAAGAAUAAUAUUUCUACCAUGUAAAACAAGAAGAAAAAGACAAAUUAAUCGGAACUUUUGUUUGUGGCUGGAACUAUUGUAAAUGUCAUUGUUGAGUUGAGAUAUUUUUUUUUUGAAGUUCCCUUUUUGCGAGGAAUGAGUAAUCUGAACGUUAUUUGUUUGUGGUUGUUGAUUCCCUGGAGCUGUUAUAGAAGUCAUUAUUGAGUAGAGAUUUUUUGAAGUUCCUUUUUGCAACGAAUGAGUAAAUAGUUGCAUAGAUGUUUGAUGGUAUUAGCAUACUCUGCUUCUAAAAUAAUGAAAGGGAUUUUCCGUUACUAUUUAGUUGUGGACUGAGGCCUGAAGAAGUAUGUUUUGAAACUCGGAAUUUCAUGGAGGAUUUGUAGGAAUCCCAUAUAUAAUAAACAUGUCAAAAUUAAUCCUCCUAUAUUUUCUUGGUCAUUUUCUAGAGCUAGGCUCAUUUAUCUUUAAUUUGUCUAGUGAAGAGUAUAUGUAUAUCCUUUGCUCCAAACAUGUAGUGGUGAGUGGAGUUUACUAAUAUUAUUAUGUGUAGUUAACCUAGAACUAGAAGCUUGGUAACUGAGCCUUAUCUAAUCUGGCCCUAAACUAACUUAUCAUCCAAACUGAUCAGUUGGAGUCUUGUGACGAUGAUAUCUCUGGUUUGUUGUGGAACGGGACUAGUACUGCCGGACAUAUUAUACAUUGGAUGCAUGCGACAUAUAUACAGUGUUGAACUUGUUUAUAUUAAUUUAUCCUGGAUAGCCAAUAGUAGCCCAUAACAUUAACAUGCAACAUAGUAUAUGCAUUUGCAUGUACUGCUAGUUCCCUGCUACGUACGAUCCUGACAGUAGGCACCUAAUCUUUCCAUGCCCCAAUAUUUUACCGCCGCUGUCGCUUCCAUUCUAGAGAGAGAACAAUAUGACCAUCUUGUAAAACAUUCUAGAGAAGAGAUGCAUGGAGAGUAUGGCAAUAAUUUAAGCAGAUUGAUGGGAGCGAGAUAUUUUUAAAGGCAGAUCAUCGAUUGAUGCAUGGGAGCGAGAGAGCUUAGCAGAGAAAAUAAAGAAGAUUGGUGAUUGGUGAUAGGCCGGGGCAGCCGUGGUGCAGCAGCAGCUAGAACUAGAGAAGCUAAAAGGAAGGCUGAUGGCAGGGCAGGGCAGUAGUUUAAGGACGGGUCCAUGCCUGCAGCUAGCUAGCAUCUAUCGACGUUCCUCCGUUGUCGCGGAGCCGGUGGACGCGAAUGGCAUGCGUGGGUGCACUACCCUGCUGAUGCACACAGCAUGCAUUGCUGCCUGCAUGCGACAUGGUAUACAGCUCCCGGCCGGCGUCUCUCCUCUCCUCUCUUCUCUUCUCUUGUCCAUCCAUCGGCAGCAUACGGUCGGUCACUCGCAGCAUGCAUGCUCCUCUGAUCGAGCUCUGCUGGUGUCGUGUCGUGUCGUCGAUGGAUCGGGGCCGGGUUGGGUGUUGCUGCAUUGCAUGCUCCCUAAAGCGCCGCCCUUGUUGCCAAAGUGAAUGCUGCCGACGACGACCGCCGCGCCGCCCGUCUUCUUUUUCGGCGGAGGGGGGCGGCCGGGCACGGGCACGGGCACGGCACAGUCUUCCGGGCAGGGGCAGGGGCAGCCGGGCAAGCCAACACCUGCUAGCGGACGAGAAAUUGAAUCGAAUGGGAAACAAAGAAAAAAUUGAUGGCUGAUGGCUCCAUCUUUCUUUCUGUCUGUCUGUCUGUCGGUCAGUCAUUUUACUAAUUUAUUUGACUGCGCUACGGAGACGACAGUGUAACAUUUUUAUUUGUAUUUAAUAAUUAUUAUUUAACUAUAGACUAAUUAGGCUCAAAAGAUUCGUCGCGUAAACUAUAGACAAACUGUGCAAUUAGUUUUUAUUUUCGUCUAUAUUUAGUACUUUAUACAUGUGCCACAAGAUUUGAUAUGACGGGAAAUUUUAAAAAGUUUUUGAAUUUCGAAGUGAACUGGUCAAAUAUGCAAUGCUUGUACGUGCGCACUAGUUUAUGCCAAUGAUUCAUUUUUCGCGGAUCCUCCGAAUUUCACACCAUACAGUCAGAAUAUAAUUGCUCCAAGACACGUCAAUUUUGAUGCGUCAAUUUGUGCAUGUGGUUCCUGGCACUACUGGAUCCGGCUUCUUUGCCGAGAGCCGCGAGCCCUCGGCAAAUGCCUAAAAGCCCUCGGCAAAGGCUUUGCCGAGGGCCAUAAACGCCCUCGGCAAAGCCUACGGCGCCGUCGAAAAACGUCAAUAUUGACGUCGUCUUUGCCGAGAGCCAUGCUGGCAGGCUCUCGGCAAAGAUUCUUUAUUUUUUUUAAAAAAAGCCUUUGCCGAGAGCCCUGCAGGAAGGCUCUCGGCAAAGAACCCCUUUGCCGAGAGCCAGACAUCCAGGCUCUCGGCAAAGAACCCCUUUGCCGAGAGCCAGACAUCCAGGCUCUCGGCAAAGCUGUAGUUCUUCUGAACCCGGCUUUCUAUCUUUGCCGAGUGCCAGCCAUCCAUGCUCUCGGCAAAGCUGAGAAUUUAGUUUUUUUUUCUGUUUUUUAUCUGUUUUUUACAUGCACAGCCACAUAUGUAUAUAUAUAUAUCACAAAUCCCUUUGUCUAUAUCACAAUCCACAUAUAUAUCACGCAUGAAACAUAUCGAAGUCCACAGAUAUCACAAAUCCACAUAGAUAUGACAAAUAUAACAUUACGUCCAACAUAAACCAUAAGUCACCACAAGUUCAUAACAUAAACCACAAGUCCACGUGAAUAUCACUCCUCGAAGUCGCUAGCGCCUCACCCCUAGUGCUGUGACUCUGACCUGUCGUCGCCGUGGCCUCCGUCGUGUCCCGAGCCUCCAUCUGGCCAAGCCGACCAGGGUGAGUGCCCCCCAGGGUGUGUAGAGCUCGCACCUGCCCACGGCGCCCACAUGGCCUGCCCUGGCACCGACGGGUACGGGUACGAGUACCCGGGGCGCGGAGGAGGGCUGCCGGACAACCCGGGGUGGCCGUGCUGCGGAUGGGCACCAGGCCACGUGUGCUGCGUACUUGGGUGGCCAUAAGUAGUAACCUGCCACCCACUCCUUGGAGAAGGGGUCGGGUUCGAACCCCACGACUGAUGCUACAUAAUAUAAAAGCGAACUCAUUAGUAUCUGCAGGACGGCCACACAAGCCAAAGCAAUAGACAAACAUAUAUACACUCACCGGACUGCCUGCAGGGGCAGGAACAGGGGGUGGAACAGGGGGUGGAGCGAAGAGCGAGGCAGGCAGCGGAGGCGCUGUAGAGCUGUGGAUGGACUGGAAGUAUCCGACUAGGUCCGAGAUCUGACGCUGCGUGUGCUGCUGCUGUGCCUCCAUGUGGCGCCGAUGGGCCUCGUCUCUGGCCGCCAGCGCGGCCGCCAGCUCUCGCCGAUGAGCCUCCUGCAGCUCGUCCUGCCUGGCCCGCAACUCCUCUAGCUGCGACUGCAAUAUUACACCCGCAAUGGUUAAACAAUGCAAAAGGAGAUGUAUAUAUGUAAAAAUAAUGGACGAUGGAUAAAGCUGUAGUUACCUGCAUCGUAGCUAUCUGCUGCACGGAGCUCGGCUGACGAGGCCGUAUGGGGACGUCGGAGGUCGAGCUGCUCCCCUGCCGAACCUCGCGGAGCGUGGGUACGGUGGCCGGGUUGAUUGCGCUGUGGGCAAUCAUGUACCGGCCGUGCUGCUUCCCUCCUCCCGUCCUCAUGAGCAAGUCCGUGUCCGAGACCCUUUGCCGUGGGCCGUCCAGUCUGGCUCUCGGCAAAGACCCUUUGCCGUGAGCCUAACGCGCAGGCUCUCGGCAAAGAACUGCUGACUUUUUUUAUUCUUUUUGAAUUUAGAGCUGAGUUUUUUUUUUUGUCCUUGUGACUCAAUUUCUAAAUACAUUUUAAAAUUUGGCAUUAAUUUGACUUUUUUUGCUAUAUUUAACUAAUUAAUCUUGUUUCUUUAUAUUUUUUCACAUAAUUCAAAUUUCAACUGUAGGUACAUGAAAUAUUACAACUCAAUGAUUCGAAAAAUGAUAGUCAAGAUAUUUGGUGUACGUUGAGGUCGUAACCACAACCACACAUGAAAUCUCAACCCUCUCGCUAACAUAACAUGUCAAGGAAUGUGAGGGAAAAUGGAUUUAUAAUUAUAUAAAUUUCAAAUAAACUCCAAAAAUCACGAAACUUGGCGACGUGUCGUGUUAUCGCAUGUGGAGGCUGUGGUAAAAAAUUCAUAAGGUUCCGAGCAAGUUGCGACACCGGAUGUCUAAAACCCAGACAUCUCCACAUGUUAUCGAAUGUGAUCACAUGCGGAGAUGUCUGGGUUUUAGACAUCUCGUGUCGCAACUUACUCGAAACCUUAUGAUUUUUUUACCACAGUCUCCACAUGCCAUAACAUGACACAUCGUCAAGUUUCGUGAUUUUUGGACUUCAUUUGGAAUUUAUAUAAUUAAAAAUCACUUGUACGACACAUGGAUGGUCAUGUUUUAUAUACAAGAAAUUCAAACUCUUGGGUGAGUUUAUGGAUACAACAUCAAAAUGCAGUCUUGAACAUGAGUAUAAUUUUUUGAAUGACUAUAUUUUAUUAUUUCAUGCUCCUACAGUUCAAAAUUACUUUUUCGAGAAAAAUACAAAUAAAAUAAUUUAAUUAAAAAAUAUAGCAAAAUGUUAUAAAAAGCUCUCAAAUUUGAACAUGUGCUUAUAUACAAUAUGUAAGGGUUACAGAAAAAGUUUGAGUACAAAACUAAAAAAAAUCUUUCUUCUUUGCCGAGAGCUUGACAAGGCACUUGGCAAAGGCCUCCUCUUUGCCGAGAGCCUAACGCCGUGGCUCUCGGCAAAGGUGACGACAACGGUUGCCGUUACCAGCGCUGCUCCUUUGCCGAGAGCCUAUCUUUGCCGAGAGCUAGGCUGUCGGCAAAGCUAGCCUUUGCCGAGGGCUUGCCUUUGCCGAGAGCUUGACCAUCGGUAAAGUUUCUUUGCCGAGGGUCGUUUCUGACUGUCGGCAAAGGCAGUCUUUGCCGAGGGCUAGCUCUCGGCAAAGCUGAGCCCUCGGCAAAGCUCUCGUUUCCUGUAGUGUGGGCUUUGAAUUGAUCGAUGGCAAAAAGCCGUAAUGGAAGCACGUCGCGUCUUGAAUGCAUGCACUAUAUAGGAAUAUAGCUACACAAAAGAAGAGAAAUAAUGACACACAUAGUAGUAGCUAGCUAGUAAAGUGUGUAUGUAAGGCCUUGUUUAGUUCCCAGAAAAUUUUGCAAAAUUUUUCACGGUCCCCGUCACAUCGAAUCUUUAAACGCAUACAUAAAGUAUUAAAUAUAGACGAAAAUAAAAACUAAUUGCACAGUUUGGUCGAAAUAGACGAAACGAAUCUUUUGAGCCUAGUUAGUCCAUGAUUGGAUAAUAUUUGUCAAAUACAAACGAAAGUGCUACAGUGUCGAUUUUGCAAAAUUUUUCGGAACUAAACAAGGCCUAAACCUAAAAGCCCAUGCAUUAUUGCUUUUUAAAAAGUUAAAGCGGUGAUGGAUGGUUUUGUUCAUGGCUCGAGGAGGAUGUGUCCUAGCUAGUUGUUGGUGGGGGAGGUGAGAGUACCUAGGAAAAUUUGCUUACAUUUUCCUGUACAUGCAUGCAUGCAACGCUAAUUGGAUGGAUAUGGUCGGAACAUGCAUGGGUCCACCAUUCACAUCUCUUGGUCCUACACGCACGCCUACUAUUGUGAUGCGUCUCAGCUUUUUAAUGUGCCUGCGUUGCAUGCAUGCAGCUGGGUACGUAAGGACACGCCGCAAGCUGCCCAAACUCUAGCUCUGCUUCCCGCAUUGCAUUGCAUUGUAUCUACCUCGUGGCGCAUUAGGGUUAGAGAGAGAGAGAGAGAGAGAGAGAGAGAGAGAGAGAGAGAGAGAGAGAGAGAGAGAGAGAAGUGUGGUAUAGCUAGCAUGCAUCCAUAUAUAUCCGAUCGACCUGUAGUUCAUGGCACAUUCAUUAGGUUUGGAAGAGUGAGAUCGAGGCAGGACGAUAUGUAGUACGUCGUCGUCCUUCGUAUAAACGGACAUUCGCUCAAUGUUGAAUUGUUGACAGACGACGAUGCGCGCGGCACUUUGUUUGACCAUGCAUGCAUUCAUCCGUGCAUGCAUGGAGCGUCUAUGUGCUUGUCCCUGAAUAAACUAAUUAAUCACUGCACGAACUCGAUCGCCUUGCUGUCAACUUAGCUUAGCUUAUUACAAGUGUGUUAACGACAAGCAAUCAUGGAAAUGAGCUGCAUAUAGACACUGUUCACAAUGCACGUUAUGUUGGAGCACUAGCUAUAGCUAAUUAAUGAGCCAGCAAUUAACAAAACGCCUGCUAAACCAAAAUAUGCAUUUAAGCCAUGUUUCGUUUCCUCCGGUAAAGUUUAACUCCUGUCAUAUCGAGUGUUUGGACACAUGCAUUAAAUAUUAAAUAUAAAUUAUUUACAAAACUAAAAUAAAACUAGAGAGUAAUUUGCGAAAUAAAUCUUUUAAAUCUAGUUAGUCUAUAAUUAGAUACUAAUUGUCAAAUAAAACAGAAAUAUGCUAUAUGCUACAGUACAUCCUUAACCGGCAAGUACAGGCCGGGUGAGGCAUGUCGGAUGCUAGAGAUGGCCAAAUGGGCUAAGCCCAAUAAUACGCAGCCUAAGCACAUAUGGGCCUACUAAAGCAUCGCAUUACAUUAUGGGUCGAGCCACUAUGUGUCUCGUGCCCUUUUUUACCAUUCAAAAUGGGUGCUCUCAGGAUGGAUCAUAAUUAUGCCCCUUUUUAAUUCGAGAGCAAUGUUGAUCAAAUUUCGUCGUAGUUGCAGCACAGCCAAAAAAAAAAACUAACAAAAAGAGCCUGUCAGACAACCCAUGGGCCAUCCCAGCCAGGCAAGCCUGGCCGGAAACGAUCAUCUACAGCACCGGACAAAGCGUCAGAGCCAAUCCUGGCCGUUAAUCACGCUCUGGCCCACAGGUCAUGGCUCAUCAACCAGGCUUAAGUGCUUGCCUCCUUAUUAAUCAAGGAUGCAGCGGUACGAUCCUAUAGAACAGAUCCUGUUCAAGUAAGGUCGU
Molecule: long non-coding RNA, 54155 nt
Filed under: Sorghum bicolor (sorghum)
Lineage: Eukaryota; Viridiplantae; Streptophyta; Magnoliopsida; Poales; Poaceae
Description: long non-coding RNA (SBIC_LNC000284)
Source: RNAcentral